CCCACCCCCCUAACAUCUUCUUCUUCUUCAGUUUUUGACAACCAAAACCAAAAACCUUGAACACCCAUAAGCAACCAGCCGCCAAGAAAAAAAAACAGAACGCCCUCCAUCAUCCUCUCAUCAUCUGUCGCAACUCCACCAUCUCCGUUUCCUAACUCGCCGGAGAAGCAAUGAAAACCGGCCAAAAACUCCACUGAAACCAGCCAAGAAAAGCUUCAAAAUUGCAGAAAUUUUCAGCCAAAAAACAGCACCAAAAAUACCUCCAAACCAGCCCUGAAAACCAAUCUAUAAAACAUCCAAAUAAAACACCAUAGCUACUGCAAAAUCAGCUAUUUAGAGCCACGAAAUCAGUCCAAAAACAACAGCUUUUAAGCAACCCAGUAGUUGAGUUUCUGACCAAGGUCGUUUUCGAGGUCACCGUCGAGGUUAUACUCGAUCGAUUCUGUUCCGAUCAAGAUCUAAUAUCGCGCUCAUAGUUGCUAUUGUAACCCGUUUACACUGAAGAAAUAAAGGUUCGUCUCAGUCCUGUUUGCUCCAUCUGAAUGUUUGGACUUAAACUUUUCUACUUUAGAAUUUUGAAGUGUAUUUGUUAUGGGUUGGUUGAUGGAUAUUGCUUAUUCUUUUUGUUAUUUUUAUUUUAUAUAGUGAAUCCAUUCUUAGUUUGAGAUCUUUGUGAUGACUAUACUGAUUUUCUGUUUCUUGUUAUUAGUUUUAUAAUUGCAAUUUAGUAGUAGCAAUUUAGUUUUACAAGUCUAAUUUGUCAAGCCUUAUUGAUUUUAGUCGGGAAAAUUUGGUGCUAGAAAGCUGUGACUUAGCUAAAACAUUUAUAUAUAGUUGCAAUUUGGAAAAUACAAAGUUUUCUAAACACUAUCGUGGUGGGGCCUCACUGUCUCUUUUGAUUUCCAUGUCUUCAAAUUAAUUGUUCUUCUUUUGGCUUGGUCUUUUCUCUUUCAUUUCUUUUGGAUGAUAGACCAAAUGAGCUAAAAGUCAAUUAGCACGCAUGAAUAUUUACUUGAUACAUUACUGUUUGAGUACAAUUUUUGCAUUAUUGAGAUACUUUAAGUGGAAUGAAAGGAGUAGAAAUCUGAAAGGAUUAUUGAUGUAAAGUAAAUGUCAUUGUAGGCUCCUGUUUGUUGGAUUAAGUGCGUAAUAGUUCAAGUUGUUUUUAUAAGUUAUGUGGUGUUAAAUUGGAAUGGCCAUUGGGCCUAACCCUUCGGUAGAAUGUUGAUCUCAAACUUAGGAAUAUAAUCACUCUUGAAUAUCGUAGCUGGCUUUAGGCGCGAUUUAAUAUAUUGUCGUGAUUGUGUACACGUUCGCGUGACAUAAUUACGAUCCUAAAAUAAAUCGAGGGAUGCUUUCGCGCAACUUCAACAAAGCUUUUCUUAAAAAAUAAACAAAGCGUUAUUAAUUGUGGACACGUUCGCGUGACAUGAUUUUUGACGCGCCAAAGGAAAAGAGUAUACAUACACGUAACUCACUUCUUUAAUUACGAACAAAUCAAGUGAUUUAAAAGCGAUAAAAAGAUAAAUGAACAUAGGUCCUAAAAAUGAGUAGUUAAACAAUUUAAGCCAAUUAAUAAUCACUAAGUGACCGUGCUAGAACCACAAAACUCAGGAAUGCCUAAUACCUUCUCCCAAGUUAACAGAAUUCCUUAUCUAGAAUUUCUGGUUCCCAGACUUUAUAAAAUAAAAUUUUCCUCGAUUUGGGAUUUUAAAAUAAACCGGUGACUUGGGACACCAAAUAAACUAUUCCAAGUGGCGACUCUGAUAAUUUAAAUAAUCUCAUUUCGAAUAAUGUCACUUAAAUUGGAAAAAUUCCCUCAUAUACUCCCUCGGGUGGUAAAAGUGUGAUAGUUGUGAAAUGGUGGAAUAAGGGAGGAUUUUGAUAUUGAUUAUAAUGAUAUGGUGGGAUCGGUUUGCCCGCCAUAACGGUUGUGUACGUAAUACUUGAUAUUGAUAAAUUAUGACAUGGUGAAAUAAGGGAAGAUUAUGACAUUGAUUAUAAUGAUAUGGUGGAAUCGGGUUGCACGAUGCAACAGAUGUUAUAUGUGUUCUUGAUAUUGAUAAAUGAUGCUAUGGUGAAUUAAGGGAGGAUUGUUUGUGUAAAGUGGGAUCGAGUUGUACGUCGCAACAAAUUAUGUAUGUUGUAAUCAUUGUUAUUGUGUUGGUUUCCAGCAUUUUUACGAGAAAUUAUGAGAUCGGUUAUUCUGUGUUCUCUGAUUGCAAGGAUUAAGUUCUUUUUCUUAAGUUAACUGCCUUACUUUCUUUUCCUGCACUGCACGCCGCAGGGGUUAUUAUAUUGUACCUAUUGAGCGUGAGUGCUGAGUAUGAGCGCUGAUUAAUAAGAGUUGAGUCAUGAGUGACUGAGAGGCUUGCCCGAUGGGCUAUAUAUACAUGUAUACGAGUGAUGCUUUGCUUGAGGGGCCUGUUUAUGUACUUCUUGGUUUCACUCCUCUUUAAAGUGAGUUUCUAUUGAAUAUGUUGAUUUAAUUACUGCUUUCACUCAUUUUUUAGACGGAGCCUCUAUUGAAAAUGUUGAACAAAUGCUUUAAACAACUUUCAUUUAAACUGAAGUUUUUAAGUUAUGAAAUGGUUAUGAAUUUCUGUUUCGCCGAGGGGCUGUAUAUGAACUAUGUUUUGCCCGAGGGCCCGAUUAUGAUUUUCAUCACUUUCACUAUAAAUUUCACUGAACUUCUACUGAAAAUUGUUAGAAAGGCAUUUUCAAAGGAUAUUUCCCGAAAUGGGAGUUGAACGAGAUGAUUUGGUUUGUAUCCUGUUUUGAAAACAUGCAGUAUCCUCUAUGGUGCCAUGAUGUGGUUUUACGUGAUUUCUUACUGCUAAGACUUUAUUUACUUUUAUUACUUACUGAGUUGGAGUAAUCACAUUACUCCCUGCACCUUGUGUGCAGAUUCAGGUAUUCCGGAACCCGGUAGCGGGUGUUGAUUGCUUAGAGGCAGAGUCACCGAAGUUAGCAAGGUGGCUGCACGACGUUCGCAGCACUGCUUUCCUUCCUCUUGUUUUCAUUAGACUGUAUUUAGUAUACUUUUAGACUCUUGUUAUAUUCAGAACUUUGUAGAUGCUCGUGACUAGUGACACCUCGAUGUCGGACUUGUGUAUUUAUUCUGUACUUUUCAUUUCAACUUACACCGAGACUAUUGAUUUAUAAAUGGUAUAUAAAUAAUUGUUAUUGAAUAAUGGUUGAUUUGGGAGUUGUGUCGGUUGACUUAGUUUCACGAAGGCGCCAUCACGACUAGGUCGGUGCUUGGGUCGUGACACCAAUAAUAAUAUAUUAAUAAUGCGAAUAAUCAUGGAUUUAUUAAAAUCGGCAGUAAACUCAAGUAAGUCAAGAAACAAGUAAACAUUCCUUUUUAUAUUUAGAAGUCUCCAAAUUCAUAAUUCAUUAUUUAUCAAUUUAUCAGACCAGGGAGGCAAUAUCAAUUUGGAAAUCUCAAGCAAGCAUUACAAGCAUGCACAAAUCAUGCCGAGGUUAUACAGCCCAAUCCAACAAAUAUUUAGAUUGUGCACUGCCAGAGGGUCGAAUGGCGCGAACCUUUCAUCUACAAACUUUGGGUGAGUGAUUCUAAUCCAUUUCUAAUCAUAUUCCAUCAAUUUAUCUUGGAUUUUAACAUCAAAAUCAUUUGAAUCAAAGUGAAAAUUUGUGAAACCUUGUCAAGUUUAUGAAAAAUAAGAAAUUGAGUUUUGAGAGUCGAUUUGCACUCGAAUUUUGAAACUAAUGACAUAUAUGAACUCGUGGAUUCGUGGGUAGUCGGAAUCUAUUAUUGGACUCGGGUUUUGACCGGGCGAGCCCCGGGUUGACUGUUGUUGACUUUUUGGGAAGAGUGUAAAGAUCUAGUUUUAUCUAUUGUAAUUGAUUUCCCUAGAAUUUUUGAUGAUAUUAAGUCGAUUUUGGUUAGAUUCGGUUGGUCUGAGGAAAUGCCCCGGUUGAGCUUUGAUUUGAGGGAAUUUUGAACCCUUGAACUAUAUGUUAUGUGAAUUACGUGUUAAAUUCUCCUUAGGUAGCACGUAGUUGCUACCUCGUUAAAAACCUUGCCGGUUAAACCCAUUUGGAACAAAAUCCAAUUUAAGGGAAAAAGAGUGCAAUGCAUGCUUUAAAAUCUAAGGUCUUUGUGUAAAUGAUGAUGCCUUCGAGAUCGUAUGCCUUCGAUAGCUUCGAUCGAAAAUUUGUAAUGAGUUAGUUCUAAACUUAAAUAGACAAGGAUAAAAUCAUACCUGAGCAGUAGUACCGGUUGAGUUAUGAUAUGUUCCAAUUGUUUGGCAGUUGUUCACCUCCCAUUGUGCUAAGUUUGUAAGGUCCUUUAACAACAACUCCGAGGACUCGGUACGGUCCUUCCCAGUUGUUGAUACCCAAUUUUUCCCUAUAUAUAUUUUUAAUAGAUAUAAAUACUUUCAAAAUAGCGUAUAUGCAUAUAUAAGCAUGCAUAAGCAUUUUAUAAUUUUUUCUAUAAUUUUAAAGGCUUCAAAUUGAUUUAUUCCCCCCCCUUUUUACUCAUAAAAUCUCCAAUAAUUAUCUUUCAAAUUAUAUUUGUGGCGAUUUAGCCAUCUAAAUUCUGUAUUUAUGCCAAAAUAUUGUUAAAAUAUUUUGGUGCAUUUUUUAAUAAUUGCAUUUGCAUUUUCUAAGCUAAUUUGCAUAUAUUUCCAAUACUAGCCCUAUUAAUGCAUAAUUACAUUUAUAUGCAUAAAAUAAUUUUCUAUAUUUUUAAAAUGUUAAAUAGCUAUUUUAAAUUAUUUUAGUACAUGAAAUUAUUUUUUAGAAAUCAUUUAUAAUUUAUUAUAAAUUAUAUAAUAUUAAAUUGGCUAUUUAAAACAUAGCCAAAUUAUAUUUCAAUUUUAGCCUAAAUUCAACCCAAUACCCAGCCCAAUUCCUUAUUAAAUUACCUGACCUAUGCCCUAAAUACACUUACCCGACCCAAGAACCCAUCAGAUCAUGGCCGUUGAUCUUCGUUAAAACUUGCCUUUUUAAUUCCAAACGACCCCACCCCUAAUCAUUUCAACCCACCCCGCCGCCCUAAGGUCCUCUCUACUCUCAAAACACUCUCAACCUAACCCUAAUCUUCCAACUCCAAUUUUCCAUCUCCAGCUAUCUCCGGUGACCUCUCAUCGUCUCUUACACCUCCAAUGGCUUCUCUCAUGCCAUUAUCGCCUUCUCUAAGGUCCUCAAGGGCCCAGGGCCAUGCCGACUUGCAUCUAGGGUUAAUCUCCUGCCUGUUCCUAUCUAUUCCAGUGUGAUUCCAACUAGAAUCAUUCUAUGUUUUCUACGAUCCUUGGGAUUCUAGACAGGUUUCUUCAUAUCUAUAUGGGUUUCUUUCGAAACCCUAAUUUCUUUUCUACACACCUCCUAGAUCUACACAGAUCUAGGACGAUUUGAGUUUGUUUCUUGAAUGUUUUACACUAUCCUUGAGUUUCUUUACAAGAAUCAUGUGAUUUCAAGUGUUUUUCAUCUUCUUCUAAAAAUAGGGUUUUUGGAACUUCUUUAUAAAACCUUGUCUAACUGAUUUUUUGUGUUUAAACUUCUAUUACUCUGGUCAAAAUUGUGAAUGCAUCAUAGUCAAACCUAGUCGGAUCAAUAUGAUGUCCACAUAAUGAUCCUUUAAGAUAAUCCUUAUCCAAAAGCACAUCGGAUUUUCCAUAAUCCCAACUGACACAACCAUGUGGAACCAUCCUCCUUUCUCACAAACAAAACAGGUGCUCCCCACGGUGACGCACUAGAUCUGAUAAAACCUUUUUCAAGCAAGCCCCUUAGUUGUUACUUUAACUCGUUCAGCUUUGCGGGGGCCAUUCUAUAAUGGGGAAUAAAUAUUGGAUGAAUAUCUUAUAGUAGUAGGUCAAUGACAAGCUCAAUUUCUCGCUCUGGCGGAAGACUCGAAAGUUCAUCGGGAAAAACAUCGGAAAACUCAAUAACUACAGGAAAGAACUGAAUGGUUGGUAACUCUACAAACCCAAACUCAGUGAUAAAUAUAGUCCUUUCUGAUUAUCUUUCUUGCCUUGAGAUAGGAGAUAAAUUUACCUCUUGUCAAUACGGUAUUACUUUUCCAUUCCAAAACAGGCUCUCCUGGAAAUUGAAAUCAAACCAUCUUUGAUCCACACUUGAUGUUAGCAUAACAAAAGGCCAAUCAAUCCAUACCUAUUAUGAUAUCAAGUCCUACCCAACCGAACACCACGUAUCUUAUCCUUGUUUAUUAUCAAACCUAGUACGGGCCAUUUCAGGCCACAUCCAUAUAUAUAGGUAACAAUAUUAAAACAUAAUUGCAUAACUAAUUUACAAAAAGGUUUAUAUACAUAGGGGUCGACUAGGCCGUAGACAUAUCAUACCCAAAACUAUAUACAUGAUAAUGUCUGCAAAACCUCUAAGUAGGCAUAAUCAUAAUAUAUACAAGUCGGGACGAGGCUCCCUACGUCCUCAUAAAACAACCUAACACAUUUAGAACCCUGACUUGUCAAUAUUCCAAGAAGAUGUGGAACUCAUCAACCAAAAACUGACACUUGGAGGAAGUCUAAAGUAUAGGGUCCUUGCCUCGUCCUAUAUAAAAACCUCGAUCAGACACACUUCGAAGCGGAAUCUUCAUAUCCUUAUCGGUUACCUUCCUCCUCUUGGCCCGACUACUAUCCUCUUCCUAUGCAUAUCCUAUAACAUACACUGGCGAACCUUGAUUGAUGGACUCCCAAGACUAUGGACUAUCUUGAACCUCAGAAGAGCUGGUGUCCGCAAAUGCCUUGACAUAGUUUUGAGCCUGAGGGAAACCCGGUUGUGCCAAUCCAUGCACUACUCCCCUCAUAGCCUUAUCAAUGGGCUGUGAUAAUGAAACUAAGGGCCUUGGCGAGGUUGGAACUCCUCUCACCCCAUCUGCUGCCGGAGUGGUGGAAACAGCUCGAACGGAUGACUCAUAUGGACCCUCAGAUGGAUCCUCCUCAAUAGAAACCAUGAAGUAUAACUUAUAUCUCUUUCUAACACCUUCGUAGCCUUCUGACCCAUGCUAGCAGCUGUAGUCUUCGAAGGCAUCGCUAAAAACGUAACACAUCGCUAGGAACAUGAAUGCUUAUAUCGCACGAUCUAAGAUAAAAAGAGAGGAUAGCAUCUUAUAUGUCCGGUAGCCUCCUAUCUAUAAGUGUGGUGCACAACACACCUAUAAGAAAAACUCUACUAGACACAGUCUGUAGACAACCCUAGGACAGAACUGCUCUGAUACCACUUUUGUCACGACCCAAACCGAUGGGCUGCGACAGGUGCCUGAGUCUUACCUGUCAAACACCCCUAAGCAUGCAUCUAAGACAUGAACCCGAAUAACAUCUACUGAAUUAUGAAAAUAACAUACAUGAAAGAAACCUGCCUACAAGGCAUAUGUACGUAUACAUGCAAAAUACAGUGGGCGAGCCGGUAAUGCUGCUAUAGACAACUAUACAUCCAGAACUAAAAGCCGACAAGGCCACAUACAACCCAACAAGACAUGCUGACAAUAGACCUCCAAUAGAAACCUAACUAUACAAAGAUAGGACUAAGCCAUGUCAUACACAUAUACAUAUAUAAACAUAUCAUAACAAAAUAAAAAGCAGCUCCGGAUCAAGUGGAGCACGCCAACUCUCGCUGAUCAGGGAUCCUAAGAAGAGGGACCGUCAGCUUGCCUACCUGCACCUGCGAGCAUGAAAUGCAGGCCCCGUGAAAUAGGGCAUCAGUACAAAAAAUGUACUGAGUAUUUAAGGCAUGAAAAUUAUUACGUAAAAGAUUGACGAAAAAUAGAAUAAAGAAACACAUUUUGAAAUUUGAAUAACUUUGUAAAUUCUGAAACGUUUAUAAUGUCAUGCAUGUGCAUAUAAAUGUCGUGUCAUGCAUAGGUAUGAGUGUACAUAAUAUUAUCAAUCCACUGAGGGCAUCCCAUCAUAUCGUCUCGACCACUGUGGGCAACAUCAUCAACAUAUACCAGCUGAUCAGAUGGUGGUGCAUAUAUAAUACCGUAACCUUUUUCCAUAUUCCAUAUACAUAUAUUUAAAUAUAUACGCGUAUAUAACGUCAUCUGGUCAUGGGUAAAUGCAUAUGUAUAAAUGGGUGAAAUGCAUGAAAAAUACGUAAUAAUAUCAAUAAUCCUUCCGAAUAAACUUUUUCAACUACGUAUUAUUCUGAGACCCAUGAACAGAAGAUAAUAAUAAUUUUCAUGGGGAAUCAAGAAUAUAGACACCCCAAAUAUUUUUAUGAAUAGAGUAAUUUGUGGAAACUAUGCGUUUGCUCGUUUCUUCGUUAUAAUUUGGACCAUGCGAAAACAAAGAAGGGAUGGCCUUAACAUACUUGGAGUAGGAAAAACUCCGUAUAAUAUUCCUGGCGAAGACUGCACCAUACUCUUUUAGAAGCUUGAAAUUUGCUUCAACAGAAUUUAGCUACGGACCAUGUGAAAUUAUCUUUUGAUUCCUUAGAAUCUCGAACGAAAUUUGCUUCAAACUUUGCUUCUGUUCUAACGCUUUGUGAACCCAAGAUGGAAUGGAUUCAAUCUAAAUGUCAAACUUUAUUCCAACGUUUUGUUGAAGUUUCUUUUGUUUCUAGCUUUUGAAUGGAAUUGAAUACUAAAUUGUUAUAUCACAUUUAUAGGUUGUUCAGAUUCCUACAAUGAGAUAAAGACUUAGAAGUCUUAUCUUGAUAAAGUUAAGCUUUAUUUAUUUCUUAGGUGUAGACACCUAUUCACAAUUUGUUUUGAGACAUCUUUUAAAUUGGUGGACUUGUACCACAUGGAGAGUGGGAUAAAGAUUAGUAAUCUUUACCCACUUAUUAGUUAACUGGGUAAUGUCCCGUUAUCCGGUAAUUAACCAACUACCCGCAUAAUUUAAAAAUUACCCCAAAUUACUUAGAAUUCUAAUUAUUAUUAUUAUUUUAUUAUUAUACGUUAUAUAUACUUUAUACAUUGUAUUACCAUGGUCAUAUGGUACCUUGCAUGGUACUAGUUCAUAAUUAUCGGGUAUUAUUGCUCGACCCGUAUUUUUUCCCAAAUUGGCCACUUUUAAUGAAACUCGCUUUCUUUAAUUCGUGUACCCUUUAUCCUUCAUGACACUUCUUUAUCGCUUGUUAUAAAUAGCGUAAAUACGUUAACAUCAAGAUGAUCUCAUACCCAAGUCUACGUUAAUUAACUGAAGACCAUACUUUUAACGUACGAAAACACGAGAUGUAACAGCGGGUGUUAUAGAUUUUGACGUAUAAAUUUCUAAGGCCCUUGAGUUGGAGUUAGCGGCACAAAGAGGUCUUCCGACCAGGCCUGAUUCUACCGAUUCUUCUGGUUCUAAUUCUGAGUUCUCGGGAACUUGAGAGGAACCGGAAGGUGAUGAUGUUGAGGGCCAAAAUGAUGAAGGCCAAGAUAUCGAACCGGCGACGGAUCUACCCACUUCCUUUGGGGGCGCAUACGCUUCUCUUCCUCCAGGUUCCGGAGAUGCAACAACUUAGCUUUUUAUUUAUUUUCCUAACUUUUGUACCUGUGUAGUUUUGGCACUUUUAUUGUGAAUAAAAAUAUCUUUUGCUCAAGUAUUACAUGAAUCUUUCUGCGUUCUUUUGUUUGAACAUUUAUGCAAGUUUUCAUUUUUGCGUUCUUUCUCGCUUUAGUGUUUUGCGCAAGUUUUCUUUUUGCGUCUUUUAUCGUUUAAGUAUUUGCGCGAGUUUGCUUUUUGCAUUUUUUGUGCAAGGAUUUAGUUGUAUUUUUCCUCGAAGGCAUUUGAUUUCGGAGAUAAGUUCUUCUGAAAUUAACCCUUUAACCUAUGAGUUUUCAUAAGAGAGGGCCAUCUUAUAUUUAUGGUACUCUUGCAGAGGACGUCUCUUGUUCAUUACAGAACUAGCAUUUGAAGUACUUAUUUAACUUUUAAAUGACAAAAUCAGUUCAUCAUUCAGACAACAAACAAGAUAUAAAUAAAAGGGCUUUACUUUAUUUCUUCCAGUUUCAAAAAGUACAUAAACAUUCAUUAUGCUAAAAAGAAAUUGACAUUUCUUAUGGCUUAUUUGUGCAUAUUGUUUCUACGAGGCAUGUCGCAAAGUCCCCAGUCCCGAUGAUACAAUUAUGUUUCCAAUUUUCAUAUUCUGUUCACUGUGGAAAUCAUUAUUGCCAUAUCCUCAUAUCAUUCUCCCCCUAGUGUUCGAAUGCGAAGAAUGUGAACUUGAACACUGGAAGUUUUGCCUUUUUGAGGAUUCUACUAAUGAAUUGCCAGAUGCCCUUCAGUUCGGUAACAAACUUCACUUCCCCUUAGGAAUUUAUGCUAUUGAGCCAAAGACUAUCUAACAAUACCUUAGUGGUUUGCACUUGCAAAUGGUCGGGUAACCUUUAUUCGAUAGCAAACUUAACUUCCAGUAGGAAUUUUGUUAGCGAGCCAAAGGUUACCUAACCGCUCCAGAGUGGAUCUUUGCUUGUGUGGCUUGCUAUUAAAUGCCUUAUUGUUACUAUUGAUACCUUCUUCGUAGUAUGCUUGCAGUUGUUUCCUUGUUCAAAAUCUAGCAAGAAAAAUCCAGUUAGGACAAAACUGGACGAAGGGAAAAAGAGUACAGUACAUAACUUUCAGUACUUGUGAUGUUUAUUAUCAAUAAUAUCUCUUAAGGUGUGCCACAUUCCAGUUGCUUGGAAACUUUUUUCCAUCCUAAUUCUCCAACUCGUAUGAACCUUUCCCGGUGACAGCUGAAACCCGGUAGGGGCCUUCCCAGGUUUGACCUAGCUUUCCUGCGUUGAGUUUCGGGUUUUUUGGGUUACUUUACUUAAAACCAAGUCUCCCACUUUGAAAUAACGGAGGUUGGAUCUUCUAUUAUAAUAUCUCUCUAUUCUCAACUUUUGGGUUGUCAUUCUUAUAUGCGUCAAGUUCGUUCGCUCAUCGAGUAGCUCCAAGUUGACUAACAUCACCUCGUUGUUUGUCUCUUCACUUGCUUGGAAAUAUCUCAAGGUAGGCUCUCCUACUUCCACCGGGAUUAAGGCUUCUGCUCCGUAUACAAGGGAGAAAGGAGUUUCUCCUAUGCUUGAUUUGGCCAUUGUUUGGUACGUCCAUAGCAAUCCAGGAAGUUCCUUAGGUCAUGUACCUUUAGCCGCUUCCAACCUCUUCUUGAGAUUUUGUAUAAUCAUUUUGUUCAUUGAUUCCGCUUGACCAUUUGCGCUCGGAUGAUAGGGCAAAGAUGUGAUUAUUUUGACUUUCAAGUCUUCAAGGAACUUUGUGAUCUUUGCGCCUAUCAAAUGUGGCUCGUUAUCGCAGGCUAUCUCUUUUGGUUUUCCAAAUCUGCAAAUUAUUUUUUCCCACAAGAAAUCCACUACCUCAUGUUCGCCGAUCUUUUGAUAAGGACCUACUUCAACCCACUUAGAAAAAUAGUCUGUUAAAAUUAAAAUAAAAUCUUACCUUACCAGGGGCCGACGGUAGUGGUCCGGCGAUGUCCAUUCCUCACUUCAUGAACGACCAUGGAGAUAGAAUUGAGUGUAAUGGUUUUGCUGGUUGAUGUACUAGCGGAGCGUAACAUUGACACUUAUUGCAUUUUUGCACGAAAACUUUGGCGUCUUGUUCUAUUCGGGGUCAAUAGUGUCCUGCCCUUACCAGUUUUAGUACUAAGGAGUCCACACCUGAAUGAUUUCCACAUAUCCUUUCGUGGACUUCUCGUAUAACAUAAUUAGCUUCAGAGGCUCCCAAGCAUAGGACCAACAAGCCUUGGAAAGAUUUCCUUACAGUUGACCUCUUUUGAAGUUAUAUCGUGUUGCUUUGGUGCAUAGCGCCCGUAAUGCCUUGGAGUCUUCGGGCAACUUCCCGUGUUCGAGUUAAUCAAUGAUCUCAUUCCUCAAGUCCCAGAUCAAUUUAGUCGUAUUCACCUCAUAGUAGCUAUCUGCAUCCAAAAUCGAGUGCAUGAGCUGUACUACCGUCCCAAAAUCUGAUCCCUUCAUUUCCGUUGAUUAACCGAGUUUAGAGUGCAUCUACUUCUGUAUUUUCUUCCCUCGGGAUAUGCAUAAUUUACCACUCUCAGGAUCGAGCAAGUAGAGUUCAAACCUUCACUACGUAUUGAUGCAUGCUCUCCUCUUUGGUUUUGAGAAUCCCGUAGACCUGAUUUACCACUAGCUGGGAGUCACAUUUGAUUUCUAUGACCCCGGAAUCUAGUCUCCGGGCCAAUUUGAGUCCUACAAUCAAAGCUUCAUACUUUGCUUCAUUGUUAGUCAAAGGAUCCAUUCUUAUGGCUUUCCUUAGGGUUUCUCCCGAAGGCGUGGUUAACAUUAUGCCAAGACCCGACCCCUUUACAUUGGAAGCUCCAUCCGUAAAUAAGGUCCAAAUUUCUGAUGUCAAUUCUGACACUUUCACUACUUCUUUGGUUGCUAGAGGCAGCAAUCCCUGACUGAAAUCAGCCACGAAGUCGGCCAAAACCUACGACUUAAUGGUAGUCUUAGGUUUAUGCUCUAUGUCGAAUUCACUCAUUUAGACGACCCAUUUGGAUAAUCUACCUGAGAGUUCGGGUUUGUGAAGGAUAUUCCGCAGGGGAAAGGUAGUCACCACAUCUAUCAGGUGACACUAAAUAUAAGGCCUCAGCUUCCAAGCGGCGACUACGAGAGCUAAGGUCAACUUUUCCAAAUGCGGGUAGCAAGUUUUUGCUCCCGUUAAAAUUCUACUAACGUAAUAAAUGGGAGAUUGCUUACUAAAAUGGCGCUUAUCGCUACCUUUGAGACCACUAGGCAGAUUAACAAUGUUUCCCCUUCCUCCUGCUUUGAUAGUAUUGGAGGGCUUGGCAAAUACCUCUUCAAAUCCCUCAAAGCAAUUACUAGGUGAAAACCCCUCUAAAAAAGCUCCAAAAUCACCCAAAAUAUAAGAGAAAUGGGUUAUAAAUGGCUUAAAUCCCUUAAUAAAAUGAAGCCUUCUGCCUCCAGGACUUCCGCAUCUGCGGUCAUUGCGCCGCAUCUGUGGGACAAGGUCCGCUUAUGCGGAAUUCCUCAGGUGCAACACUGGCCGCUUAUGUAGACGGGAUCCCGCUUCUGCACACGUUUCUCCACUUCUGCGGACCACUGGCCAAAUGCCCCAAAGCCGCUUCUGUAGCCACAAGCUCGCAUCGGCGGGCUCGUAGGUGCGGGCACACCAGAACUGGUGCACUAGCAGCCCCCUUGAGUUCUAAUUCGAUCUGUGCAUUAUCUGGAUUGCACCAGAGGCCUCCCGAGGCCUCAUCAAACAUACCAACAAGUUCGUAAAUAUGAGACGGGCUUGAUCAAACCCUUGGAACGUGGAUAACAACACCAAAACUAAGAAUCACACCCCAAACCAAAUAGAAUCAACUUAUGAACUUCAAGUUUUUCCAACUCGCUUCGAGCGCGCUGAAUCAUACUUAAACUACUCGAAAUGACUCCCAUUUUUGCGUGCAAGUCUUAAAUUACCAUACAGAACUAUCCCCAGGCUCGGAAUCCCAAAAGAACCUCGAUAACACCAAAACCUACUCCAAACAAAAUUUAAAGAACUUUAAAACCUUUAAUGAGCCAACUUUCACUAUUAAGCGUCGAAACGCUCCCGGGUCAUCCAAAAUAUGAUCUGAACAUACGGCCAAGUCCAAAAUCAUCAUACAAACCUAUUAGAGCCAUCGAAUCCCGAUUUCGAGAUUGUUUACUAAAAAUGUUGACUCAAGUCAAACUUAGCUCUUUUUGGCAAGUAUUAAGGAACCUAGUGUUCCGAUUUCAAUCCGAACCCUUCCAAGCCCGAAUUAACCAUCCCUACAAGUCAUAAAAUAGUAAAAGCACAUACGGGGAAUCUUAUUUAGGGGAACAUGGAUCUAGAAAGCAAAAUAAUCGGUCGGGUCAUUACACUCCCGAGUUAGAAUCUUAUCAGGUGCCAAGAUAUUUCCUGGUACCAGAAGAGACAGACUCAACGAAAUCCACAGCGGAAGAGCUUGAGCAAGUCGCAUUGUUAGAAAAGUUCUUGGAGAGGAAACUCCACUUGGGGACAUGAUUGCAUUCUGAGCUGUUUGAUAACAAGAUGUUUGAAAAACUUAUAAGGAAAACCGUGGAAGUUUAUAUAGGCGAUAUGCUUGUAAAGUCUUUGAACGUGGGUGAUCAUCUUAAGCAUUUACAAGAAACUUUUUACAUCUUAAAGGAGCAUAACAUGAAGCUUAACACCAAGAAAUGCGCGUUCGGGGUCAGCUCUGGCAAGUUCCUAGGAUUUUUGGUAUCACAAAGGGGGAUUGAGGUAAACCCUGACAAAAUCAAAGCCAUCCCAGACAAGCUAUCAAGCGUGAAAGAAGUUCAAAGGCUCACAAGGAGAUUGGUGGCUUUGACCAGGUUUAUUUCACGGCCAUCAGGGAAAUGCCACCGUUUCUUCACACUACUAAAAAGGAAAAAUAACUUUGAAUGGACCCCGAAAUGCCAGCAGGUGGGAGAAUAUUUCUGUAGAGGUUGACCAACUUAAAGAAGAACUUCAGCCUCUAGAGGCUUCCCUCAUUUUCAUGUAUAGUACGAGGAGAAAAACCUUGGAAAGGGCCAAAGCGGGUGUCACAACCCCAACCGAUGGGCCGCGACGGGUGCCCGAGUCUUACUUGUCAAACGCCCCUAAGCAUGCAUCUAAGAUAUGAACCUGAAUAACAUCUAUUGAAUUACGAAAAUAGCAUACAUGAAAGAAACCUUCCUACAAGGAAUAUGUACGUAUACAGGAAGAAUACAGUGGGCGAGCCGGCAAGGCUGCUAUAGACAACUAUACAUCCAGAACUGAAAGCCGACAAGGACACAUACAACCCAACUAGACAUACUGUCUAAAGACCUUAAAUAGAAACAUAACUGUACAAAGACAGGACUGAGCCACACCAUACCCAUAUACAUAUAUAAACAUAUCAUACCAAAAUCAAAANNNNNNNNNNNNNNNNNNNNNNNNNNNNNNNNNNNNNNNNNNNNNNNNNNNNNNNNNNNNNNNNNNNNNNNNNNNNNNNNNNNNNNNNNNNNNNNNNNNNNNNNNNNNNNNNNNNNNNNNNNNNNNNNNNNNNNNNNNNNNNNNNNNNNNNNNNNNNNNNNNNNNNNNNNNNNNNNNNNNNNNNNNNNNNNNNNNNNNNNNNNNNNNNNNNNNNNNNNNNNNNNNNNNNNNNNNNNNNNNNNNNNNNNNNNNNNNNNNNNNNNNNNNNNNNNNNNNNNNNNNNNNNNNNNNNNNNNNNNNNNNNNNNNNNNNNNNNNNNNNNNNNNNNNNNNNNNNNNNNNNNNNNNNNNNNNNNNNNNNNNNNNNNNNNNNNNNNNNNNNNNNNNNNNNNNNNNNNNNNNNNNNNNNNNNNNNNNNNNNNNNNNNNNNNNNNNNNNNNNNNNNNNNNNNNNNNNNNNNNNNNNNNNNNNNNNNNNNNNNNNNNNNNNNNNNNAGUACGAAAAAUGUACUGAGUGUGUAAUGCAUGAAAAUUAGUAUAUAAAAGACAUAGACGAAAAAUGGAAUAAAGAAACACAUCUUUUAAAUCUGAAUAACUUUGUAAAUUUUUAAAACAUUUUAUAAUGUCAUGCACGUGACAUAUAAAUGUCGUGUCAUGCAUAGGUAUAAUUGUACAUAAUAUCAUCAAGCCACUGAGGGCAUUCCAUAAUAUCGCCUCAGCCACUGAGGGCAUUCCAUAAUAUCGCCUCAGCCACUGUGGGCAACAUCAUCAACAUAUACCAGCUGAUCAGGUGGUGGUGCGUAUAUAACGCCGUAAUCUUUUCCCACAUCCCAUAUACAUAUAUUUACAUAUAUACGCAUAUAUAACUCCAUAUGGUCAUGGGUAAAUGCACAUGUUUAAAUGGGUGAAAUGCAUGAAAAAUACGUAAUAAUUUCAAUAUUGCUUCCCGAUAAACUUUUUCAACUGCGUAUUAUUCUGAGACCCAUGAACAGAAGAUAAUAAUAAUUUUCAUGGGGAAUCAAGAAUAUAGCCACCCCUAAUAUUUCUAUAAAAAGAAUAAUUUAUGAAAAUUAUGUGUUUGCUCAUUUCUUAGGUAUAAUUUGGAUCAUGCCAAAAGAAAGAAGGGAUGACCUUAACAUACGUGGAGUAGGAAAAACUCCGUAUAAUAUUCCUGGCGAAGACUGCACCGUACUCUUUUAGAAGCUUGAAAUUUGCUUCAACAUAAUUUAGCUACGGACCAUGCGAAAUUAUCUUUUGAUUCCUUAGAAUCUCGAACGAAAUUUGCUUCGAACUUUGCUUCUAUUCUAACGCUUUGUGAACCCAAGAUGGAAUGGAUUCAAUCUAAAUGUCAAACUUUAUUCCAACAUUUUGUUGAAGUUGCUUCUGUUUCUAGCUUUUGAAUGGAAUUGAAUACUAAAUUGUUAUAUCACAUUUAUGGGUUGUUCAAAUUCCUACAAUGAGAUAAAGACUUAGAAGUCUUAUUUUGAUAAAGUUAAGCUUUAUUUAUUUCUUAGGGGUAGACACCUAUUCACAAUUUGUUAUGAGUCAUCUUUUAAAUUGGUGGCCUUAUGCAACGUGGAGAGUAGGGUGAAGAUUAGUAAUAUUUACCCACUUACUAGUUAACUGGGUAAUAUCCUGUUACCCGGUAAUUAACCAAUUACCCGCAUAAUUUAAAAAUUAUCCCAAAUUACUUAAGAUUCUACUUAUUACUAUUUUAUUAUUAUACUUUAUAUAUACUUUUGCAUUAUAUUACCGUGUUUAUAUGGUACCUUAUAUGGUACUAGUUCAUAAUUAUCGGGUAUUGCCCGACCCAUAUUUUAUCCCAAAUUGGCCACUUUCAAUGAAACUCGCUUUCUUUAAUUCGUGUACCCAUUAUCCUUCAUGACACUUCUUUAUCACUUGUUAUAAAUAGCGUAAAUACAUUAAUGUCAAGAUGAUCUCAUCCCCGAGUCCACUUCAAUUAACUAAAGACCAAACUUGUAACGUACGAAAACGCGAGAUGUAACAUCUUUCCCCCCUUAGAAACAUUCGUCCUCGAAUGUUCAACUCCCCGUGAUCUAUAUAAAUUUGGCAGGAUCGCCUUUAUAACAACACCACUACCACCGUAGAAGCUUAAUAACCCAACACCACACAGAACCAUAAUUAUGAAUAACGACAAUGGCCUUAUAUGGCCAACGACAAUAACCAAUAUAAGAAUUUAUACACGUACCUUAUGGUUAUGAUGUCUCAGUUAGAACCUUCUCUGGAGGAGAAAAUAAGUAGGGAUAUUUAGACUUCAUGUCUUUCUCGGCCUCCCAAGUCAUUUCUUCCACCUUGUUGUUCCUCCAAAGUAUUUUCACGGAGGCUACCUCCUUAUUCCGCAGCUUGCGGAUUUGUCGGUCUAAGAUGGAAACCAAAAUUUCCUCGUAUGACUGAUUUCAGGUACCGGGACUAGUGAGCUGUAAUUUUCCGAGAUUCGGUACUUCAUGGAAAUUGUUGGAUAAGACCUGAUGUGAAUACUGUCGUAGGACCUGAGUUAUUGCUUACCUUUAAUGUAUUGUGAAUUUAGGAUUUGGGUUUGUGUUUUCGCUCGCCCUUCUAUGUCAUUAUUUUGGUAUUUUCGAUGUUACUUGCUGUAUUCUCCCCUUAUUGUGAUUGUAGUAUUGUUAGCCAUUUUGUGUAGUCUUUAUAUAUACAUCAUGUUCCAUUGUUCCUAUAUUUGUACAGUUUAUUGGACCGGUAGGUGUCUUGAUUGUUCCUCGCCACUACUCCAGCGAGGUUAGUCUUGAUACUUACUAGGCACCGUUGUGGUAUGCUCAUGCUACACUUCUGCACAUUUUUGUUAUGCAGAUCCAGGUACUUCCACUCAACCUUAUCAUCCUUGAGGCGAGGUGCUUCUAUAGAGACUUCGAGGUAUAUCUGCCGCGUCCACAGACCAAGGAGUCCCUUUCUAUCUUUCUGUAAUAGUAUAGCCCUUCAGUAGUUUUCCUUUUUGUUAGACAUUCCUGGAGUUGGAGCUUUUUAUGUAUCUCUUAGCUUGUGAUUCAUGGGGUUCCGGAUUUUGGGAGUGUUAGGUUGAGACUUUGUACUGUUAUGUGCCAGGCGGCAUCUUAAACACUAUUUUAUUUUACUAUUUCGGUUUUUAAAUUAUUUCUUCUGCAAUUGUUGUUUAUAUUCCUCCUUGUUAGGAUUACCUAGUCGUAGAGACUAGGUGCCGUCAUGAUGGUUCACGAAGGGUGAACGGGGGUCGUGACAAGUUGGUAUCAGAGCUCUAGGUUUAUAGGAGUCAUGAAUUACAAGCCGGUUUAUUAGAGUCUCGUGGAUCGGUACAAAGACGUUUGUACUUAUCUGCGAGAGGCUAUGUAACUGUUAGGAAAAUUCCACUUCAUUUGAUUUCCUUGUCGUGUGAAAUUUUGAUGUCACAAUUCUAAACUUCUGUCUUCUAUUCUCUCACAGAUGGUGAGGACACGUACUAACCGAGAUGAUAGGGCACCCGUGCCCCCUACUAAAGUCGUCAGAGAUCGGGGCUGGGGUAGAGGCCGAGGACGUGCACGUAGUGCAGCCAGAGCACCCGCACGAGCUGCCACUGAGGUACCACCAGCAGUUCCAGCUGGAGUCCAGGCACCUGAUACGCCUACUGCUACUACUACUCCAGCUCUUCAGGAGACUCUUGCGCAAUUCAUGAGCAUGUACACCACUUUGGCUCAGGCAGGGUUGCUUCCCCUUGCUGAAGCCACAUCUUAGGCCGGGGGAGGAGCACAGACUCCCGCAGUCCGCACUCCUGAGCAGCGAGUGCAUGUUGACCAGGUCCUAGAGAUUAUUCAUGUACAGAUUGUAGUCCCAGGUCAGCCCGAGGACAAGGCAGCGGCUUCAGAGGAUGAGAAGCGGAGACUUGAGAGGUUCAAGAAGUACGAUCCUCCUGUAUUCAGUGGGUUGGCAUCAGAUGAUGCCUUGGGAUUUCUAGAGGAGUGUCACCAUAUCCUCUACACUAUGGGUAUAUAAGGAUUGAGUGGGGUUUCUUUUGUCGUCCAGCUUCGGGAUGAGGCAGCUUCACUGACUUGGACCCAAUUUUCAGAUAUGUUCCUGAGAGAGUUUGUUCCUCAGAGCCUCAGGGAUGCAUGGCGGGCAGAGUUUGAGCAUUUGUGCCAGGGUACUAUGACUGUCUCGGAGUAUACUGUCCGUUACACUAGCUUGGCUAGGCAUGCCCCAGCCUUGGUUUCUACUGUUCGCGAGAGGGUUCGCCGGUUUAUUGAGGGGCUUAUUCCCAGCAUCAGGUCUAGCAUGGCUCGUGAGUUGGAAAUGGAUAUUUCUUAUCAGCAGGUGGUGAGAAUUGCUAGGAGGAUAGAGGGUAUACAUGCUAGGGAGAGAGAGGACAGGCGGGGCCAUGAGAGAGAGGGAAAAUGAGAUCAGGAGAGAGAGUUUGAGGAGGCGAGGAGGCCUCGUAGACCGGGGAGAUCUGGUGGUCCUUAUUUUGGAGGCAAGGUGCGACAUGGUAGAGGUUUUGUGGGUCAGCCAGUUCAGUUCGCACUUCUGGCUUUGCAUAGUGACUCAGGUGUUCAUGGGUCUCGGGGUAACCGUACCGCACAGUUCCCACAGCCUCAUCAGCAAAUAUGGCAGGUCAACAUUGUACUACACGAUCGCGGCUAUGCCUAUGUGAUUGCAUAGAAGGAAACACCAGAUAGUAGAACAACAGUUCAAACAUAGGGAAAAAUGACCUGUGGCCCACUCAGAACACACCCAAGGCCCCCGAAACCUCGUUUAAACAAAUAAACAAGUCACAUAACCUAACACGGACUCGCUCGAGGUCUCAAAUCACAUAAAACAAUAUCAAAACAAUGAAUCACACCAUGAAUCGAACUAUGAACUUCUAAAUCUUCCAAAUUCAAAAACUUGUGCCGAAACCGAUCAAAUCAACCCGGAAUGACACCAAAUUUUGCAGACAAGUCCAAAAUGACAUCACAAGCUUCUCUAACUCUCAGAGUUGCAUUCCAACCCUGAUAUCAAAAUUUCACUAUUGAUCCGAAAACUUCAAAAAUUCAUCUUUCGGCAUUUCAAGCCUAAAUAAGCUACGGACCUCCAAAACACAAUCCGAACACAUGCCUACGUCCAAAAUCACAAUACAAAGUUAUUGAGAUCACCCAAAACCCAUUCCGAGAUCGUUUACUCAAAAUCCCAACUCCGAUCAAAUUCUCACCGUUCAACUUCCAAAACUAGAUUCCUUCUUCCAAUUUGACUCUGAAUCAUCCAUUAACUGAAUUCAACCAUGCACGCAAGUCGAUACUCAUAUUAUGAAGCUGUUCUAGACCUUACGCCGCCGAACAGAGCUUAAUUUCUCAAAAUGAUUGGCUGGGUCGUUACAUCCUCCCCCUCUUAAAACCAACGUUCGUCCUCGAACGUGCCAAGAUUCGCCUCGAAUUCCUUAAGUCACUGAGUGCACACUUCCAACAUACACCCGCAGGUGAUCCCACGUCACCCCAAUCCACAUAAAUUUGACGACACCAUCUCAACUAAAAUUUAGCCUUUCUAGCAAUACUAAUAAGCCUUAGCACUAGAAUUCUCACCUUCCAUCCAUUUCCAAAAGACCUGAUUCUAAAUCCAUAUCCGGUAUCAGUCUCAACCAGCUGCAUCAAUUCAUACCAACGCCCAUAUAGUACAACCUUACAACAUGACACAUCACAUAUAGGCCCACAGUAAUAUUUUUUAUCACAAUAUCUGCUCGAAAUCAAAUUUAGCACCGGUUAUAAGCCUCAUAUUUAAUAGGAACCCGUAUCAAACCUCCACAACACUGGUGAUGAUACAAUAACCACCAAAGCCACAUAACUUAACACCCGAAUCACCAAAAAUCUCAGCUAAUACCAACGGGCACACACCCCACAAGCUAAAACUCAAGAAGCACAAAAUGAAAAUGACUGAAUAUGGAAAGGGUAACACAUAAGGGAACUAUCAAACAAGCCCGACAAGCACAAAUUUUCUAUCAACACUAAUCUACAAAACAAUAUAACAAGAAAGAAUUAAAACAUAUACAAGAAUAACAAGGAUCUUAUACUGAUAUAACUCUCACCGCGGUACACAUCCUGGUCUCAACACAUCAAAACACAUGAAAUCACGAGGGUCCCGCCCUCUACUCUGAAUCACAAGUAGGGUGUACAUCAAACCAGCUAAAACCUUUCACUAGAUCAGUUCCGUCAACAAGAUUACAACACGUAUUGGCUCCCAUACUGGUGGAGCAUAAAAAUCACAGCUCAUAGCCAAAAAUACUCAGAAAUCACAUCAAACCUACCGAAAUGGACAACAGGAAUUUACUACUAGUCUCAUAACUCCCGACAAUGGCUAGAAAUAGAUGAUAGACACGGCUAUCACUCAUAGAACCUCCCAAUAGGAUAAUCACAUAAACAGAGUGUUAAUCAUGAAACGCACCCAUAAAUGGAGCAACAAAUAGGGGAACUCACCCCAAUAAACAGAAUUGUAAUGAACUACGGAUGGUGCUCCUCUAUAACAAAUUAAAAUCAUACCUGAAUGACAUUCAGCUAGCGUAGCGGCCUUAAGCCUAUUAUAUGAAACACAUCAACGAGCUGGGCCUCCCCCUCUUGGGCGCCCUUUACCCGUCUAAAUACCUCGUUGUGACACAUCGGCACGAAGUCUAGGACAAUCUCUCACCAUGUGGCUAGUAUCUCCACACUCAAAGCAAUAAAUCUUGCCAUCCUUUCUUUGUCUUAAUUUUAGAACAGAAUUAGACUGAAAGGGAUUAAAAGAAAAGCAAAUAAUGAAAUGGACAAAUGAGCUUAGACGAGAGGUAUCCCUUGAGGGGAAAGAGAAUAAGGACUUAUCCGGAGUGCAUGCAGACUUCAAUGAUCAUGACAUGUCUCUUGGACUGGAUGUCUGAUCUGUGUAAACCGUCCAACUCUCAGAAAUUCAUCAUAACUUAUACCUCAAAAUUGAGAAACCUUGCAAGGACUCUAUCGAUGCCGAUGGCUGUGAGGGUCCCCUUUUCGAUCAGUGGCGCCCUUUGCGGGUUUUCACCAGCUGACCUCUCUCAUUUCUUUUCUUACCAUUGCCUUAUAAUGCUCUUUGCACGUUUUCACUAACAAGACUCUCUCAUUUUUAAUUUUCUGCUUACCAUCGCCUUACGGUGCCUAUGAGAUUUUUCACCGAUAAGACUCAUUUUGUUGUAUCAGAUUCAAAUAACUGUAUCCUCCCAUUUCGAGCCUCUUUGGCGAUUGAUUAGAAGGACUUGAACAGGGUUUUGGGGUAAAAAGCAUUUGGAUUGAAUUACAACUUUGGAACCCUUUGGGCAAAAUCAUCGCCGAACCAUUAUAACUUCUGCCCCAGUUUCAACUUUGGGGAAAUUUGGAUUUUUAUUUUGGUGUGACUGAACCCUAGAAAGAGGAUGCAUACAUAUCAUUUCGGAAUCAAGUCAGACGUAGUUCAAGGAACUUUGUUUUUCUUUUUUUUUACUUUUUCUUCUAUUUUGUUUUCUUUUCUCUUUCUUUUUCCUUUCAUUCUGCCUUUUUUUUAAAUUUUUCAUUUCAUUUUCUUUUUGUCUCUUUUUUUGGUUUCUUUUUUUUUUUUCAUAAUACUUUCAAGUUCCAAAAAGGGUAAUAAAAAAAGUAACCAGCUCAAAUGGUUUGUAAAGGGUUGAUAGCGUUUGGGUAGUGAGAAUAAAAGCCUUCUUCAUCCCAACUGGAGAAUAUUAAUGUUAUAUAAAGGAUCCAACAUAGUACCUUUUGACUGCACCUGCAUUGACAGUUGUUUCAGGGAAAUUUCCUUCAAUGUGUCCCAAGUAUAAUGCUCUCUUUUGGCAGUACUCGUGUUGGAAUGUAUGGAACUUUCUAAUCUGGAGCUAAUUUUCCUUUUAGUUGUUCUGGUUCUUUGUUUUGUUUCCCUAAACCUAUCUUCAUUGCAUUCUGAUUCUUGAUUCAUUAUUUCAAAGUCUGACAGCGUUUUAGGAUCUGGACAUGAAGUCUGUAAGCAUGUCAUGUUAUUAAAAUUUACAAUAACAGAACUGAAAAGGGAAUAAGAAAAGUGACAAGAUUAAGAAAAGAGAUAUUCCUGGCAAUGAAAUAUUAAUUUCAUCAUUUUUUUGGAUUUUGAUUUGAUCUUUUUUUAAUUUUAAAGAUAGAAGGGUUUACAUCGAAAAAUAAGACAAUAAAGUAAAACAUUCCGACGAAGAAAAGAUAGCAAGACUGGCUACCGAGACUCCCAUCUGCUGGGGAACUUGAGGCUUGGUGACCGUUUUUAGCUUUUCUUUUUCUCGGCAAUGGCUGCAAUGGCCUUCAGUGUCGGAUCAAAUUCCUCAUCUUCACCAACCAUACCGACUAUUGGCCCGGUGUUGUGAGCAGGCAACGGAUUGUUCAUCACAUUAGGAGCCUCUUCGUCCCGAAGAAUGAUUCUUUUAGUUUCAAUCAAGUCUUCAACUACCCUUUUGAGGGUCCAACAGCCCUCCGUACUAUGUCCCACUACUCUAGAGUGGUAUUCACAUCUAGUAUCAGCUCAAUGCGAGGGGUAUUCGGGGUUCGGCCGGUUCGGGGCCACUAGGUGCAACAGAUCUAGCCUGAUUAGCUUUUGGAACAAGCUUGAAUACGAUUUACCAAUAGAAGUGAACUGAUUCUUUCUGCAAGGCUCUCUUGGGUGAGGAUUGUAUUGGGGGACAUUUGGUUGGGGAUUAUAUGGAGCUUGGUAAGGAUGGGCAUUUCUGGGAGGUGGAUCUCGGUUUUGUGUAUAAUGAUGUGGCCGCGUGUGAGGUUGCACGUUCAUCACCGCAUAGGGAGGUGGUGUCACGGCAUAAGCAGCAUCUUGAAGGGGAUAAUAGUGUGGUGGGAUCUUAGAAAGCACAUAUGAUUGAUUGAAUGACCUGCGGGCUCCCUCAAGCUCAAAGCCAUCAUGGCUCCUUCUUAUUUACCAUUUCUGUUCAUCACACCCUCCGAACCAUUCUGAGAAGCCUGUGAUGUGGCCUCAAAAGCACCAUGACUCAAGAUUCGACCCGUUUUUAAACAGUUUUCAACCAUUUCCUGAAUUUUGAUAGCUUCAGCGAACAACUUACCCAUAGCAGACAUCAUGUUCUGGAAGUAUUUCUGCUUCGUCCAUUGGAGGCUUUACCUUAGCAGCUUGCUCAUGCCAUUUAGCAGCAUAUUUGCGGAAACUUUUUGUGGUUUUCUUUUACAAAUUGGACAAAUAGUUUCUGUCGGGAGCGAUGUCCCAAUUAUAUUAGAACUGUCAGACAAAAUCUCGGGCCAUAUCAUCCCACACAUGCCAAUGGGUAAUUUGUUGAUCCAUAUACCACUCAGAAGCGAUUCCAGUGAGGCUUUCUACAAAAUAGGCCAUUAGCAUCUCCUCUUUUCCACCAGCACCCCUCAGCUGGUUACAGUAUCGUUUUAGAGGAGCGAUCGGAUCUCUGUACCCAUCGUACUUUUUAAAUUUUGGCAUCUUGAAGCCAGUCGGCAAGUGAACAUGGGUAAACAUACAUAGGUCGGAGUAUGAGACACUCUUUUGACCACUUAGACCUUGCAUCUUUUUCAGACUUUGCUCCACACUCUUCAUCUUCCGAGCCAUUUCCUCUUGCUUGGGAUUCUUGACAACCUUUUCUUGCCCUACCGAAAAUUCACAUUGCAGAGGUUGAGUAAAAGAGUACGGGGUCACAUAUGUUAUUUUUGGUUGAAGUUGUGGACCCUAAAAGGUUAAAACCAGAGGCUCAACAUUAGACCGUGGUAUAGUUGGUUGUCCUAUAGUGCAGACUGGUGCUACAAAGAACAUUGGAGGUACCUUUGGGGACGGCGCUUAGGGGGGGGGGGGAACCACAGAAGGAAUUUUGGGACCGUUAAUGACAUUGGAGGGAACCCGCAUGAGGUAAACAGGUUGGACAUAGGGACGUUGGUAGUUCUACCUUAUCUCGGAAUCAACUCAUGGAACCCAAGGAUUGCUCUUGGUUGUUCCCUACCAGUAGACCAGGCAUCCCACAUUUUCAAUAUGCGGAGACACAAUAUCCUAUUCUCUUUAGCAGGUGCUGAUUUUGGUUAUGGAAUAGCCGGUGCUGGGCUAUCUUCGAGAUUGAUAAUUGGUAGAUGACUUUCGGAGGCCAUAUGAACCUUUCCUUUGGAUCUUGUGAAGUAAGGAUGGGAAGCCUGUCACGACCUCGGUUCGCCCUCCGUGAACAAUCGUGACUGCACCUAGUCCCUACGACUAGGUAAGCCUAAAUUGGAAAAAAUACACCAAUUUACGGAAGUAAAACAAUUUAAAACAGAAUUAGAGUAAUAAGACAGUGUUUAAAAGUGCCGCUCGGCAUACACAAUAUUUAACUCUCAGAAACCAAUACAUAUCUCCAAGACCCGAAAACCCAUGAAUCACAAGAUAAGGAUCACUACAUAGUGCUCUAACUCCAUAAUAGUCUAAAACCAAUGAAAUACAGAAGGGCGAUAACUAUGAGAGAGAGUGGAGAGAGACUCCUUGGUCUGCGGAUGUAGUAGGUAUACCUCGAAGUCUCCAAAUGAUCGCCUCACCUCAAGGAUGGUAAGCCUGAGUCAAGGUACCUGGAUGUUCACAUGAAAAACAUACGCAGAAAGGGCAUGAGUACACCACAGCAGUACUCAGUAAGUGCCAAGCCUAACCUCAGUCGGGUAGUGACGAGGAAGGUCAGGGCCCUACUGAGGUUAAAUAAAAUACAAAGUAUAACAAUGUAGAACAAGAUAGUAUAAUUAAGUGCAACAGUAAGAAAUAACAUAGAAUAAAAAUAGCAACAACAACUAGAACAGAGGCAAAAUAAUCACAGAAAGGAAAUACAACUCAACACAGAGAUAACAACCGGGGUACCUUCAAAGAUACCAUCCUGUAGUCCCAAUUAUAGCUAUCCAGUGGAUCUCCCGGGAUCCCGGCCCGUAGUCCAACAAUCAGUGCGCGAGGAUCUACUGGAAUCCUGAUCCGUAGUCCCAAAUAUAAAUACCAGUACUGGGGGAAUCUACCGGGUGAAGUCCCGUAGUUCCAUAUAACUAUGCAGGGGGAUCUACUAGAAUCCCACAUCCGUAGUCCCAAAUAAACAGACAAGGGGAAUCUACCGGAGUCCCACAUCUGUAAUCCCAAUGUAAAUACACAGCAGCAACAGGAAAUUAUUCAGAAAUGGCGAAUUUCAUAUUAAGGCAACAAGUAAUUCUAGCCUAGCAUGCUGCAUAGAAUAAAUGUAAGGCAGUUUUAGAAAAUAAAGCAAUUAAAUCACUUAGACAUGCUUUCCUAAGCUACGACAGGCUUAAUAAUGCGAGUAAUAAAAACAAGAAAAGAAACAUACUAGUAAUUACUUAAUGAAAACCGGAUUUUCAAUAAUUAGCACAAGUACGCACUCGUAUCCUCACGUACAAGGAAUUUCAAUUACCAAUUAUACCAAAUCCUAAGGUGAAAGGUCCCCCACACAAGGUUAGGUAAACCACUUACCUCGAACCGGCUCAAUAAUCAAUCUGAAACCAUGCUCUUGCCACGAGUACUCGACUCCAAAUUACCCAAAUUUAUUCAAUUUGAUUGCAAUAAAUAACACUUUAAGUAACUGAUUCUACAAAGAAAUUCUAAGCUAAUACGCAAAAUUAGGUAAAAUGACCAAAAAGCCCAUCGGGCCCAUAUCUCGAAAUUGGGUAAAAUUUACAUUUUCAGAAACCUCGUACUCUCACGAGUCUAUACAUAACAAGAACACUGAAAUCGAAGUUUAAUUGGCCCCUCAAAUACCCAUGUUAAGGUGUCUUAAUCUCAAGCCCUAAUUACCCAUUUUCCCCAAAUUUCUCACCACAUGUUAAGCUGUCUUAAUCUCAAGCCCUAAUUACCCAUUUUCCCCAACUUUCUCACCACCAAUUAGGUCCUUUAUCACAUAUAAACGAGUUAUGAAGUUAAAAAUGUUACUUCCAAGUGAUUCCCCUUGAAUCCCUCUUCAAUCCUCUUCAAAGAGCUCCAAAAUCGCUCAAAAUUGGUGGAAGAUAACCUCAAAAUGGUGGACCAAAUGACUAUUUAAACAUUCAUCCCAGGCAUCAAAUCCUUCUUCGCGAACACGGUCAACGCCUCGCGUUCGCAAAGCACAAAUUUACUUUGACUAAAAUUCCUUCAUCGCGAUCGCGACACAGCUCGCGAACGUGAAGGCUUAGCUCUGUACUCAACGCGAAUGUGACGUCCCCCCGCAAACGGGAAGGACAAAUCAACCUCAACCCAACCGCCCAACUUUCCUCUAUGCGAACGCAGUAUCACCUCGCGAAGGCGAUGCACAAGACCCCAGCCCCUUCGUGAACGGGGAGACUCCCUCGUGAACGCGAAGGCUAAAUCCUUAGCCUCACCUGCUAACCCUUCGCGAACGCGAGGGCCUACUCGUGAACAAGAGGGCCUACUCAGGAACGCGAAUGUCAUUUUUCUGCAACACCUAACAGUAGUUUUCUGCAGUUUUUCACAACUUGAAAUGGUCCGAUUGACCACCCGAAACAGACCCUAGGCCUCCGGGACCUCAACCAAACCUGCCAACUAAUCCUAAAACAUCGUUCAAACUAUUUCCAACCUUUGGAAUGCUCAAAACAACAUCGAAACACCUAUUUUUCAUCGGAUCCAAGCCUAAGAAUUCCAAAAACCCCUAAAAAUAUGCUUUCGAUCAAAAAGUCUAUCAAACCUCGUCUGAAUGACCUGAAAUUUUGCACACACGCCACAUUAAACACUAUGGAGCUACUCCAACUUCCAAAAUGCCAUUCCCACCCUCAGAUCAAAAUCUCACUAUCGAACCGAAAACUUCAAAAAUUCAACUUUCGGCAUUUCAAGCUUAAAUUAGAUACGGCCCUCCAAAACACAAUUCGAACACACCCCUAAGCCCAAAAUCACCUAACGAAGCUAACAGAACUAUCAGAUUUCCAUUCCGAGGCCAUCUUCACACUGUUAUGACAACAGUCAACUUUUCAACACUUAAGCUCUCAUUUAGGGACAAAGUAUCCCAAAACUCUCCAAAACUCAACCGAACAUCCCGGCAAAUCAAAAUAGCAGAAAUAAACUCGGGAAAAGUAGUUAAUAGAGGAUCGGGGCAUAAAUUCUUAAAUGACCGACCGGGUCGUCAUAUCCUCCUACACUUAAACAUUCGUUCGUCCUCGAACGAGCAUAAAGACAUACCUGAAGUAGUGAAAAGAUGAGGGUAACAGCUGCGCAUAUCCUGCUCAGUCUCCCAGGUCACCUCCUCGACCGGCUGACCCCGCCACUAAACCUUUACUGAUAAAAGGUUCUUUGACAUCGGCUUUCUAACCUUCCUGUCCAAUAUUGCCACUGGUUCCUCAAAAUAGGAUAGAUCCUUGUCCAACUAGACUGAACUAAAAUCCAACACGUGCGACGGAUCACUGUGAUACCUCCGGAGCAUCNNNNNNNNNNNNNNNNNNNNNNNNNACUCAACUCCUUUUUUUCCCAAAUCUCAUAACGCCCUUUAUAGGCGAAACCCGAAGCAGAACCCGCUCUCCAACCAUAUAGGAAAUAUCACGAACCUUCCGGUCCACGUAACUCUUCUGUCUGGACUGGGCUAUACGGAGUCUAUCCUGAAUCACUUUAACCUUCUCCAAGGCAUCCUGAACCAGGUCUGUGCCCAACAAUCUAGCCUCACCCGGCUUAAACCAACCCACCGGGGAUCUAUACCGCCUACCGUAUAAAGCCUCGUACGGUGCCAUUUGAAUGCUGGACUGAUAGCUGUUGUUGUAGGAAAACUCUGCCAAUGGCAAGAACUGAUACCAAGACCCUCCAAACUCAAUCACAUUCGUAUGGAGCAUAUCCUCAAGAAUCUAAAUAGUGCGCUCGGACUACCCGUCCCUCUAAGGGUGAAAUAUUGUACUCAACUCCACCUGAGUACCCAACUCAUGCUGAACGGCUCUCCAGAAUCGUGAUGUGAACUAAGUACCUCUAUCUAAAAUGAUGGAAAUUGGAAUACCAUGCAGACAAACAAUAUCCCAGAUAUAGAUCUUUGCCAAACGCUCCGAAGAAUAAGUAGUACACACAGGAAUAAAGUGAGCGGACUUGGUCAGUUGAUCCACAAUCACCCAAAUAGCAUCGAACUUUCCAAAGUCCGUGGGAGCCCAACUACAAAGUCCAUGGUGAUCCACUCCCACUUCCACUCCGGAAUCUCUAUCUGUUGAAGCAACCCACCUGGUCUCUGGUGCUCAUACUUCACCUGCUGACAAUUGAGGCACCGAGCUACAAAUCUAACUAUAUCUUUCUUCAUCCGUCUCCACCAGUAGUGCUGCCUCAAAUCCUGAUACAUCUUCGCGCCACCCGGAUGAAUAGAAUACCGCGAGCUAUGGGCCUCAUAUAGAAUCAACUCUCGAAGCCUAUCAAUAUUUGGUACACAAAUCCGACCUUCCAUCCUCAAUACCUCAUCAUCACCAAUAGUCACAUCUCUGGCAUCACCGUGCUGAACCUUGUCCUUGAGGGCAAGCAAAUGAGGGUCAUCAUACUGCCGCUCCCUGAUACGAUCAAAUAAGGAAGAUCGAGAAACCACGCAAGCUAGAACUCGACUAGGCUCCGAAAGAUCCAAUCUCACUAACUGGCUGGCUAAGGCCUGAACAUCCAUCGCCAUAGGCCUCUCCGAUGCUGGUAAAUAAUCCAAACUCACCAAACUCUCUGCUCGGUGACUCAAAGCAUCGGCCACCACAUUGGCUUUUCCGAAGUGAUACAAAAUAGUGAUGUCAUAGUCCUUCAGCAACUCUAACCACCUCCUCUGGUACAAAUUUAGAUCCUUUUGCUUGAACAAGUGCUGCAAGCUCUGAUGGUCAGUAUAAGUCUCACAAGGCACACUAUAUAAAUAAUGGUGCCAGAUCUUCAGGGCGUGAAUAUUGGCAGCUAACUCAAGGUCGUGAACAGGGUAUUUCUUCUCAUGUAUCUUCAACUAUCUAGACACGUAGGCAAUCACCCUACCGUCCUGCAUCAACACCGCUCCGAGGUCAAUCCUCGAGGCAUCACAAUAGACUAUAUAAGACCCCGAACCUGUAGGUAGUAUCAAAAUUGGGGUUGUGGUCAAAGCUGUCUUGAGCUUCUGAAAGUUCGCCUCACACUCCUCCAUCCACUGGAACGGAGCAACCUUCUAGGUCAACCUGGUCAUAGGGGCUACAAUCGAUGAAAACCGCUCCACAAAAUGUGUUAGUAACCCGCCAAGCCAAGGAAAUUGCAGAUCUCUGUAGCUAAGGAUGGUCUGGGCCAACUCUAUACGACCUCUAUCUUCUUCGAAUCAACAUGAAUACCCUCACUCGAUACCACGUGUCCUAAGAAUGCCACUGAAUCUAACCAAAACUCAGUGCGCAGGGAUCUAACAGAAUCCUGAUCCGUAGUUACAAAUAUAAAUACCCAGUACUGGGGGAAUCUACCGGGAGCAGUCCUGUAGUUCCAUAUAACUGUGCAGGGGGAUCUACCGGAAUCCCUCAUCUGUAGCCCCAAAUGAACAGACAAGGGGGAUCUACCGGAAUCCCACAUCCUUAGUUCCAAAUAAACAAACAAAGAGAAUCUACCAGAGUCCCAUAUCUGCAGUCCCAAUGUAAAUACACAACAACAACAGGAAAAUAUUCAGAAAUGGCAAAUUUCAUAUUAAGGCAACAAGUAAUUCUAGCCUAGCAUGCUGCACAGAAUUCAGGUAAGGCAGUUUGAGCAAAUAGAGCAAUUAAAUCACUUAGACAUGCUUUCCUAAGCUAAGACAGGCUUAAUAGUGCGAGUAAUAAAAACAAAAAAAGAAACAUACUAGUAAUUACUUAAUGAAAACCAGAUUUCAAAUUUCAUAUUAAGGCAACAAGUAAUUCUAGCCUAGCAUGCUGCGCAGAAUUCAGAUAAGGCAGUUUGAUCAAAUAAAGCAAAUAAAUCACUUAGACAUGAUUUCCUAAGCUACGACAGGCUUAAUAGUGUGAGUAAUAAAAACAGGAAAAGAAACAUACUAGUAAUUACUUAAUGAAAACCAGAUUUCCAACAAUUAGCACAAGUACGCACUAGUCACCUCACGUAUAAGGCAUUUCAAUUAUCAAAUAUACCAAAUCCUAAGGGGAAAGGUCUCUCACACAAGGUUAUGCAAGCCACUUACCUCGAACCGGCUCAAUAAUCAAUCCGAAACUAUGCUCUUACCACGAGUACUCAACUCCAAAUUACCCAAAUCUAUUCAAUUCAAUUGCAUAAUAUAAAUAACAUUUCAAGUAACUGAUUCUACAAAGAAAUUCUAAGCUAAUACGCAAAAUUAGGUAAAAUGACCAAAAAUCCCAUAGGGGCCCACGUCUCGAAAACGGGUAAAAUUUAUAUUUUCAGAAAAUUCGUACUCUCACGAGUCUAUACAUAAUAAGAACACUGAAAUCGGAGUUCAAUUGGCCCCUCAAAUACCUAUGUUAAGGUCUUUUAAUCUCAAGCCCUAAUUACCCAUUUUCCCCAAAUUUCUCACCACCAAUUAAGUCCUUAAUCACAUAUAAACGAGUUAUGAAGUCAAAAAUGUUAACUCUAGGUGAUUCCCCUUGAAUACCUCUUUAAUCCUCUUCAAAGAGCUCCAAAAUCGCUCAAAAAUGGUGGAAGAUAAACCCCAAAAUCGUGGACCAAAUGACUAUUUAAACAUUUUGCCCAGUCAUCAAAUCUUUCUUCGCGAACGCGAGGAUCUUUCUUCGCGAACGCGGUCAACGCCUCGCGUUCGCGAAGCACAAAUUUACUUUGGCUAAAAUUCCUUCAUCGCGAUCGCGACACACAACUCACGAACGCGAAGUCUUAGCUCUUAUAUUCAAUGCGAACACGACGUUUCUACCAUGUGUUUGAACGGUUGCAUGUUUCAUCCGGCAUUAACAAACCCUUUUUCGCUCUGCCUUUCACUCUUUAUUUUCUCAUUUUAUUUUUGUCGCUCUUUUAUUUUUGGGUCUCUUUUUUCUCUUUUUGUUUUUUCACUCCUUUAUUUUUUUUUGUCGUCCUUUUUUUCCCCUUUUUGUCACUCUUUUCUUUCUUUUCACUCAAUUUGUUUUUCAAUUUUUUUUUCUCUUAAUUAAUUUUAUGGCUAUGAUUGAAUCCGAUGGGGAUUGCCUACGUACAUGACACCGCAUGAAUCAGAUCAUUACGUAGUUUAGGAAGAUCAGGAAUAGAGGAAAUAAAUUAACUCUUUUUUCUGAUUUCUUUGACAUUUUUUAUAUGAAAAUCAUAUCACAAAGGCUUCUAACAAGGAAAAAUAUUUAGGAUUUUGAAUUUUGAAUUUUUUUUUCUUUUUUUUAUUGUUAUCUGAAAGAAAGAUCUCUACAAAUUCUUUUUCUUUUGUUUUGAAUCAUUGGGAAUUUCAAAAGAAAAAAAAUACUUUUGUUUGAAUUUCCAUUCGUUUUCUCUUCCUUUUUUAUAAAGAAGAAAGAAGAUAUUUUUGAAUUUUGAAUGAUGAUUCUGAAUUCUUGAAAGAGGGACUUUUAAGAAUUUUUUCUAAUUUAAUUUAAGAAAGUACUUCUAAAGAAAAGUGAAAAUAAUUUUUCUACUUUAAAUUUUUAAUUUUAUGACAUUUAUGAAAGAAGGACUUCUAAAGAAGAAAGAGAAUACUUUUUGGAUUUUUGUUUCUGAUUGUUUUUUUAAAAUAAAAAUACUUAUGAAGAAGGGAAAAACAAAUUUUUGGAUUUUGUUUGAUGAUUUUCUUUUGAAUGAAAGACUUCAAAAAGAAGGAAAAUAUUUUUGGGUUUUAAAAUUGUUUUUAGGUUUUCUAAGGAAAGGAAUUUUUUUUGACAAUUGAGGGUCGAAAUUGAUGAGGUUUGCCUACGUAUCUCACAUCCGGUGAGAAUCAGACUCGCGUAGUUUGGUCAGAAGUAAGAUAGAAGAAAUAUGACCUUUUAAAAAUAUUGGCGUAUUGUCUUUCUCUUUUUUUUUUCUAAAUCUUUGGCAGAGUUUCGAAUUUUUCAAAUACCUAUCUCUCAGUCUUGAUUUCUUUUUUCUUUUUCUUUUCUUUUUCUUUUAAAUUUCUUUCCAUAUUCUAGAAGCUGGUCAACAUACAAUCCAGAUCAAACAAAUGUACAAGUAACACGUAAAAUUCAUUAGGAUGGUCUUUUUAGUUUGGGAUGCACCCGUCCUAGCGGACCUAACCCCUGUGUUGAGUCCUUAAGGUCAAAUGCACGUGAUGCAAAUAAGCGUACCUACUAGGGAUCCGACAUGAGGCUAUGUCAUUAUAUGUUUUAAAACCUGAGUGUAUUGUUCUAGACCUGGCUUAUCCGAGCGGACGACUCGAGCCGAGGGGGGGCAGCGUACCGGGAAUACAGAAGCUUCACCGACUUUGCAACUUGUUGAAAUCUCGUUCUAAAAUUAGGAUAUGACUCUAACAGAAAAGAAGUCACGCGAAGCACGCUUCCUAGAAGAUUUAGAAGACCAAGAGAGAAGAAAUGUUUCGUAACAGUUUUAUAUACAGUUCAAACAAUAUCAAAGAGGUAAAAGCGGCAUUUAGCACGUUAGGCUCAAACACGUAAAAAUUAGAUAAUAAAUAAAAGCCAAGUAUAAUAGUUAUUCUAAGCUCGAAUUCUAAACUCUGAACUAGAGAUUCUGGGUUCGUUUCCCAGUAAAGUCGCCAUAGCUGUCAGAGCUGGCUUUUCAAGAGGGGAUAGAGAGUUUUUUCAAUUAAUGGGACAUUAUUUAAAAUGGGAUUAUUUAUUUGAUUCAAAGACGCCACUUGGAAUAAUUUAUGGUGUCCAAAAUCACCGGUUUAUUUUAAAUCCACAAUCGAGGAAAUCUGACUCUAUUUUAAAGUCAGCAAAACCAGAAGGCCGGGAAAGAAAUUCUGUUAACCCAGGAGAAGGUGUGAGGCACUCCCGAGUUCCGUGAUUUUAGCACGCACUCAAUUAUUAAUAAUUGGACUAAUUAUCUAAUUAAUUAUAUAUUUAUAACCCAUUGUGCAUUUUUAACUUCUAACCACUUCCAAUUAAUUUAAUCCCAUUUUAGUAUUUAUGGAAUUAUUUUUGGAAUAAGUCAUGAUACCGUACACUUAUCGUUUUGGUACACGUUGCAAAUCAUGCCACAUGAAAUGCACCCGCAAUUUACGACAUGUUUAUUUUUAUUAUUAUUUGAAGUUAUGGUCGAGUCACGUGAAAUGUGCACUCGAAUUGGGGAUUACGUAUCAUGACUAUACCACGGGAACCAUACUUAUAGUCACGAUAAUUAUUAUUAAUCGAGCCUAAAGCAAGCUACACAUUUGAAUGAUUCAAUUUAUUUCAAUCAUUAUGACUGCAUAUAGCUUGAAAUUUUAUGGAAAACAACAUUCAAUCAGAAAAAGGCAAAAGCAUUACAUGAUAUAUGAGAAAGACUGACCUCUUGUUUGAAGGAAUAUAUUACUUCUUCAGAAUAUUCUUCAUUUGCAAAUAUUUUAACAGCAACAUCAACAUAGAAAAAUGAACAGUAAUGAAACUCCUCAGCAAACCCAAAGAAUCGACGCCAAACCCGGAAGAACUCGAAACCAGUGUUCUGCUUCUUCUUUUUUCGAACUUUUGUUCUAAACUCUUAUUUUUUUCGAAUUUUUUCAGCUCUGCUUUUUUAAUCACAGAGUAUUUCGUGAAAGCUAGUGUGUUUGUGUGUGUGAGUCGUGAGUGAGAGGUGAGUGAAGCGAGUGUGGAGGUGAAAGUGAGGAUAGUCAUUCAAUGGAGGAAGGUUGUCCGUCUCUCUUGUUGAGCGAGAGAUCAGGAAAAAGAAAUAGGAGAAACAUCACUAGGGUGUUCAGGAGGGGGAAAGUCCAAUUUUCUAGGGCUUGUUUUUUGGAAAAUGGGGUUUUAAAGAGAGGGGAAGAGCUGGGCCAGGCGGGUUUGUGGGAUUGGUCUAGGCAGUGUGGGAAUUGGGCUUAAAAAUUGCAACUUCAUUCUUCUAUUUCCUUUCUUUUUCAAAUUUAGCCAACUUAAUUGAACUCCUAAUUGCUCCUAUUUUUCAUUACUACGCUGCUAAAAUUGUGAAUCAAUUUAAACUAAUUAAUUUAAACAUGCAAAAAAAUGAUUAAUGUAGUAUUAUUUUUUGUAAUUUUAGUGUUUUUAAAAAAGGCACCUAAAAAUGCAAAGAGUUAAAAAAUAACAUAUUUUUUGUUAUUUUCAUGAUUUAAAAUGCUACUAAGUAUGAGAAGAUUUAAAAAAUUUCACAAAGGCAACUAAAACUAUUUUGGAGUAUUUUAGGCAUGGAGCAAAAAUUAGGUGCUCACAAUAUGUUUGAAUUUAUGUCCGUGUUCUUGUUAUUUGCUAAUGGGUAAGCAAGACAGUUGUCUUCAUAUUUGGAUAUUGGCUUAUUGGGCCAUGUGUGUGUUAUUGGAUCUGAGCAUUGCUCAGACAUGCUUGUGAGUCUAGUGUUAGGCCUGUUGGAUACGCAAGAGUAAGGUUGGUGAAGGUCCUGAAGGCACUGCUGGGUUAUUUUAUACUUGAGCUGGACCUGUAAUUGUUGUAUUUAGUCCUGAAAUUAUCCUAUUAAGUCUGUAAUCAUUUUACUAUUCUAUUUCUUGGGCAUGUAAUAAUCUGUAACAAUGAAUGAUGGGGAAAUUAAUCGAAAAGGGGCUGGGAUAUUCUAAUGUUUGCAUGAAUGGGUAGAUAACAUGCUUAUAGGGUCUACAUGCUUGUUUGUUACUUUGUUUGAUGUCCCUAUGUCUAUACACUAAUAGAGAUCAUGCUUAUAGAAAUUCAAACACUCAACUCACUAACUUGUCUAACCCCGCACAUCUUCAGAAGCAUGAGUUUAAAUGCUUUACUUGUUCACAUGUCUACUUCUAUGUGUUAUUAGAUAGCAUGCCUAUAGGAAUCAAGCAUCGAUAACUAUUCACUCAAUUCGUGUUAUUGCAGUGUGCUUAUUAGAUAGCAUGCCUAUAGGAUCGUAUGAAUAUAUGCCUUUGCUAAUACUCAUCUAAAUACCAUGUCUAUAGGGCUUUAAUUGAUUAACUAAUCGACUACUUCUGUUGUCUUAUUACUUUGCCCACCUAGAUAACAUGCCUAUUGAAAUAAGCACGACAAAUCUACGUUCAAAUACCAACUAUUACAGAACCUAGCUAAUAAAUGUUGUUACUCUCUGAGAAAGCAUGCCAAUAGGAUCAAACACGGGUAAUUCGGAGUUUUCCAAUGGCUUUCACUGCCUCAUCGUGCAAAAUCACUUAGAGAUCAUGUCUAUAGAUUUUCAUAACUUGUAAUUUGUAAUAUCAAUAAUCUGAAUAGCAUCACUACCCAUGAGAAAUUCUUAAACUGUGUGUCACUUAGAAGCCAUGCCUAUAGGUUUUAAACAACACCUCGAUUCUAAAACUACCUACUGCAUAAUAUAAAAUCUGUCUGCGUGCUCUUGUUGCUUAUGUGUGGAGGCUAACUUAAGCCAUUCAUUGUCUUUAUGUGUAGUACUACAUAUUUUGUAUGUGUGCCUAGUUUUAUCAUUCUGAGCACCCUAAGUAAAGUCUAGAAACACCCAAAUAGAGGUCCAAAGCCUCCUAGACCACAAGUAUAGGACGGGUAGUGGACGCAUAGGGUAUGGUUUAGAACUGAAUUAGAGCGCCUUUAAGUAACAACUUCAAUAUAGUAAUUGGAUAGCAGGAGAUAAUAGUCUGUGCCCGCUGGAUAAUAUGAGCAAUCCCAUACCUUAAGGGGCUUGUGAAGUAUUAUUUAUGUUGCACGGGGUGAUCCUUUAGGCUAAAAAACUUAGGACCCCUCCCUCUUUCUUUAUACACUUGUUAUUUACACUUAGUUAUUUAACAUAGAUCAAUGUAUUUGUAACGUUGUAAAUCAUUAAACAUUUGCACCAAUUCCCAGUGUGUUUUGAUAAGACUCUUCGAUUUCUAUAUUUUCCUUUGUUUAUUUGAUCACCUAGCCUAAUUACAUAAUCCACAUAGUUUAAAGUUCGGCCGGGAUUCACAGUUGUUGACCUCGAAGAGUGCCUAAUUUGAGCUCUUACCCGAUCUUUGGUGAUGCAGACUAGUUAAAAUAGAGUCAUUUGCAAAUAGGUGCCCUAACGCACCUUAAAAAUCGUUAGGUGGCGACUCUUCUCUUUUAAUACCCAUUUAAAAGAGUUGUCACAUGUCGAAACCCGCUUUCAUGAGAAAACGGGGCGCGAAAGCAUCUAGUGGUGUUGUACUCGGAUUUAGCCACAUUUGAAGACUUGAGGUAUAGUUGCAUGACGACCACAUCCCUAAGUCCCCCUCUUUCUCCAUUUUACUGUUUACCUAGCCUCAGAAAAUUAUACUUUAUUUCAGACCAUAGAUGUAUUACUCUAGUUGUUCAUGUCUUCGUGACUCCGAAUUCUAGGAAAUGUUUGGAUAUUAUCAUAUGUAUUAAAUAAUCUAGCUAAUGUUGGCUUGCCUAGGAAGUGAAAUGUUAGGCGUCAUCACGGUCUCGGGGGUGGGAUUCUGGGUCGUGACACUAUGGUUAAGUUAUGUAACAUUACAUAUACUACUCUCAACACCCUCCAAUCUCCCCCCCUCCCCCCCCCCAAGAGGUGAAGAUAUUCUUCAUCCAUAGCUUGGAUAACAAGUGGCCAUGUUGCAGUAUGACCAAACCUUUGGUAAGGAGGUUAGCUCGCUGAUCAACAGUAUUAACAUAAACAGUGUUGAUUAAUACUUACUGAAUCCUUACACACAAAAUGGUAAUCGAUAUCGAUGUAUUUGGUGCGUUCGUGAAAACAUGGUUGGCUGCAAUUUGAAUUGCUGAUUUGCUAUCACAGAAAAUAGGAAAGAAAGCUUGUUGCACCACCCCUAACUCCAUAAAAAAUCCCACUAGCCAAACAAUCUCAAUGACAGUAGAAGUUAGACUCCUAUUUUCCUUAAGAAGAGCUACUGGAGAUUGUUGAUUAUUUCUUAUACUUACAUAAAAUAAGGGAAUCACCAAAUUUCACCAAGUAUCCAGUGACAGACCUUAUGUUGUUGGGACAAGCAGCCCAAUUAGCAUCACAAAAAGAGGACAAGGAACUAGAACAUUUAGCCAUCAUUAACACCCCUAGACCAGGACAGUGCUUUUCAUACCUACCAACCCUAAGGGCAACUUCCAUGUGAGAGGACUUAGGAUUUUUGACAAGCUUGAAACACAUACUUAAAUAUGCUCGCUAGUCGAAUAUGGUAUAAUAUAAUAUCGUAUCCUUAUCCUCCUAACUAGGUUUAGUCAACAAUUUAAGUAGCCUCUUUCGAUUACUAAGAUGAAUUAAUAAAUUCAACCAAAAAAUAGAAUGCAAAGAUAUAACAAGUUAUGCCUCUCUCGAUUACAUGAAUAAGUGAAAAUAGAUGCCACAGUUAAAACAUCCAAAACGAUUCAAUACAUAAAAACUAGAGUUAAUAUCCACAAAAAAGUAUCAAUACACCAAAACCAUCAAGUCCUAAAGAGAACUAGUCCAUAGAUAUGGAGCAAUUCUUCAUAAAUAUGUUUAAGUUAAAGGAAAACAUAAACGAUCCAAACACUUGUCUUGAGUGAGGAUUGAAUGAUGAAAUCCUUGCGCUUUUGCUUCUCCACCUCCUCCUUAGCUUUCUUAGGUCUAAGAUGUGUCAAAGUCCUCAAAAUAACGUUCUUCAAUGUAUAUAUAUCAAGUUGGGUUGGGCCUAGACGAAAACACCUUUUCCUGUGCAAAAUAUGAUUCUAGCUCUGUCAGUAGUGAAACUUAUCAGAGACCUUUCAAUUUGACUGGUGGCAAAAUUUGGGCAGCCGCCACUAUGGUAGAUUCUUAGAGUCUGGCCUUUUGCUUUGUUUUUGAAGUUCAGACAUGAUUCUCGACCCCCGAACGUGAUCCCGACUUAAUACUUUAGGCUUUUACUCAGAAUUCAAAGCUCCAAAUAGCUAGAAUUAGCUCCAUAACAUCUACAUCACUCGGAAUUACCCCUACAAGGCAUAAAAUACGCAAUUAGUGUAAAACACUAGUGAUUAAAGCUCAAGCUCAAUUAAUGUGUAGUAAAUUAGAGUGUAAUAAGCGACUAAAAUACGGGAUUAUAACCUACUAUCAACACCCCACACUUAAACCAUUGCUCGUCCUCGAGCAAUCAAAAAACACUUUAUAAAGACACGCCCUUUUUAAACAACUCUCCUAACUCAUCAUACCAAGAGUAUUUCAAAUAUAUUAUGCAUCAAUAUAUAUUAACUCCCUACUUCUAUAAGCACAAUUACAUCAAGAGUUACCACUUAUAAAAGAAUAUUUGCAUAAUAAUACAACUAAAUUUUUUUUCUUUUUCUUUCCCAAUUCAAGUGGAUCUUACUUUUUCAAAACAAUGCAACUUUUCUCCUAUUUCAAUAGUUUCACUCAAAAGCCAAACCAAUCACCCCACACUUCAUCAUUUACAAAGUUCAUAACAAAUUCAAGUGCUCAUUAGAGGUGAAAAGGUUCAAAUAGAUGGUCAAUUCAAAUAAAUGGUUAAUGUUGUAAUGUGGUUGCCAAAGAAAUAGGAUUAUAGUCUCAAAGGGGUUAACCACGAUACAUAACAAUUAGGUAGGUAAAACCAUAUAACUGGCUCAAUAAAGAAAUGCCUAUAUCACUUCGAAGACUUAAUAAAACUACUAUUUCGCUUUGCAAACACACGGAACAAGUUCUAGACAUCAAAUACAAUGCACAGAAUAACACAAAACCCCACACUCACAUGGCACAAAACUCUCUCAAGAUUGGACUAUCAAGACACUCUAGUCAAAGCAGUUAAGCAAAGUUAAGAUCAUAUACUUUAAGGUACUUAUACAAGAGUCGAAAACUGAGCCUAAGCGUUACAACUAGAGCACUCACUAUUCUCAAGGUAUAAUAGAGUUAAAAGAUAUUUCUCUCAAUUCAAAUCAUUGCACAAAAUUGUCUACUCCUAACAAAAAUAAAAACUAACUACAUCUGGUUUAAACAAAACCCUUGGAAAAGAAUCGCGACCCAAAGAAAAAUCAAGGGGGAAUUAUUACACUACCUACAAAAGAAAAUCAUUUUGUCUUUUUCUUUCGACUUUACUCCCUCAAGGAAACUUUGGAAUGAUAUCCAUCGUCGGGAAAAAUUUUAAAUUUUUUGUGCUUCUUCAAUUUUUUUUUUCCAACUACUAAAAAGAAAAACUAACACAUAUAGUUAUUCCCCACCCCACACUUUAAAUUGUGUCAUGUCCCCAUUACACACAGUUAAAAAGCAUAAGGUAGAGGAAAUUUCCCUGAAUAUCUAGUUGGGGUCUGAAUCAAAGUCGGGAUCCAUUCCACGCGCCCGAACUAGUGCACACAUCCAUGUAGACAUAUUUUUCUCAGCCUUCUUGGGGUAUACCCCACAAUUAUCUCUCUCAAUAACUGCAACCUUCCCUUUCACUUCCUUCACCUUCCACUCAACACUUGCACAUGGCUUCUCCUUUUUCACCCCUUUUCUACAUUCAUCUCAAAAGUUACCGUCUCCUCUCCCACUCUUAGCAUUAUCUUUCUCUCGUGUAUAUCCAAAAUUUCUCUACCCAUUGCUAAGAAUGGUCUUACUAGGAUGAAGGGUAUCUCUUUCAUCUUCACCACUAAAAAGUCUACCAGAAAUACAAACUUAUCCACCCGCACUAAGACAUCUUCAACUAUCCCCUCGGGUAUUAUAUUUGUUUGAUCUGCCAACUCAAAUGACAUUGGUGCAGACUUUAUCUCUCCAAUCUCAUUCUCCAGUUUCAUGUAAAUAGACAACGCCAUUAGAUUAAUUGAGGUACCAGAAUCACAUAAAUAUUUAUCAAAUUUAAGAGUGCCUAAAGGGAAAGAUAUGGUAAAACUCUCUGGAUCUCCACACUUUUGUGUGAGUUUGUUUUUCAAGAUUACACUACAAUGCCUGUGAGUUUGACCACUGAGGUCUCUUCGAUCUUCCUUUUCUUUGUAAGGAUCUCCUUCAAGAACUUUGGCAUAAGCUGGCAUUUGUAAGAGAACUUCUGUGAAUGGCAAAUUUACAUUAACUUACCUCAGCAUAUCUAGAAAUCUCUCAAACUGCUUGUCCAGCUUCUCUCUAUAUAGCUUUUGCGGGAAAAGUAGAGCAGGCAUAUGCUCGAUCAUAUCAUGUUCCUCCCUUCUCGAAGUUUCCUCUUUCUUCUUUUUGUCAGCUCCCUUCUUGCCUUUCUUCUUCUUAUCAUCUUCAGUUUUCAGCUCCUUCCCACUUACUUUUUCAGGUGUCUCAUCUUUUUGAAUUGGAGUGGGUUCUUUUAGCACUUGCCUGCUUCUCAAGGUCACAACAUUUACAGUUUCUUUGGGAUUCUUCUCAGUAUCAGCUUGUAGAGUACUUGGGAUUCUCUCAGACAAUAUAUUUGCAAAUUGUCCCACUUGUCUCUCCAAGUUACACAAAAUUGUCCCAAGUUCUUUGAUAGUUGCACCAUAGAAUCUAGCCUCUCAUAUGUCUUGAUAAUGAAGGACUUCAUCUGAUCAUCUAACCCAUACUAAAUUGGCUAUUGAGGCUGAAACUACGGCCUCUGCUGAUUUUGGAAGCCUGGAGCUCCUUGUCCCCGAAAUCUGGAGUUAUUUUGUUGCCAUGCAUUUGGAGUAACUCCAUGUGAACUCCAUGAAAAAUCGGGAUGCUUCUGACCCAUUGUAUUGAAGUUAUAAUUACCCACAACAUUCACUUCUUCCAUUGAAGCUUGACACUGAUAAGUAGGGUGUCCUCUUCCACAUAUAUCACAGGCUGCAUGAGGCUCAUUGUGUAUUGACGCUAAUGUCAGCUUCCUUAUUUCUGUGGCCAUGGCAUCAAGCUGUACCUACACAGAUGUAUUAUUAUCAACUUGGUGAAAACUACUUGAUCUUCUUCUUUCAGUAAUCUCAGAGGGCCACUGAUUUGCUUCUUCGGAUAACUCGUCUAGAAUAGUGACUAUCUCCUCUGGAGUCUUUUUCAUCAACGGGCCUCCAACUGCGUUGCUCAAUGUUCUACGUGAGGCUGGUGUCAAUCCAUCCCAAAAGUCUUGGAGUUGCAUCCAGAGUUCAAUUCCGCUAUGUUGACACUUUCGUACUAUUUCCUUAAACCUCUCCCAAGCUUCAAACACAGCUUCAGUCUUAUUCUGGAAGACGUUAUGAUUUUCUCUUCUAAACCUGCUAGUCCAAGCUGAGGAGAAAUAUUUAGCAAGAAAUUUUCUGGUCAUCUCCUCUCAGGUUCUAGUUGAUCCAUGGGUCAAGCUUCGAAAUCAGUUUUUUGCAUCAUCUUUGAGAGUGAAGGGGAAUGCCCUUAAAUGAACUACAUCUUGUGACACACCAUUGUAUUGAAAGUUGUUCAUGAUCUCCUCAAAGUCCAUUAGAUGAUUGUUUGGAUCUUCGUUAUGUUUUCCUCUAAAGACAUAAUAGUUUUGAAGGGUUUGAAGAAACCCCUGCUUCAACUUAAAAUUAUUAGCUGCAACUAGAGGAGGUCUCACACUUGAUAAGCCUUGGUUGUAGACCAGUCUAGUAUAAUCGCCAAGUGGUCUCCCUUGGCUGGGAGCUAUGUUUCUGAAUUGGUCUGCACCCAAGAGCUGAUUCUAAGCCAUUCUUCGAGCCCACUCUUCUUCAUAUGCAAUUUCUACAUCUCUAAUAGUUGCUUCCUCAGCAUCCCGAGCAGCUUUCUCUCUGAGUUGGGAUGCCUCCCUCGCAGCCAAAUCUACAUUAUCAUCAUCUCUCGCCAUAGUUUCUUUAGUUGAGGAUUGCCUAACCUUCUCUAUAUUCUCGGAGAGAUUUCUUUUCUUCCUCAACUAUCGCAGUUGUUUCUCGAUUUUUGGUUCCUAUGGUUGCACUUCCUUCCUAGAAGAUCGAUUCAUGCACCAAUCUAACAUGUAGCCUGCGCACAGUCAAAGAACACUAAAAGUAGAAAGCAAAAAAAAAUAAAAAAAAUUCCUGAAUUAGUACUACAAACUAUUUCAAACAUUAUUGAUUGCCAAUCCCCAGCAACGGUGCUAAAAUUUGACGAGCUUGAAACACACACUUAAAUAUACUCGCUAGUCGAAUAUAGUAUAAUAUAAUAUCGUAUUCAUAGGGAUUGAAGUUAAAAAGUAUUAUCGUAGUUUAUACGUAGAUUGCUAUCCAAGAUGCUCAAUAAUUGAGAGUUUUGUAAUUAAUACUAAAAUUAACUAAGAAUCUAAACUAUUUGCUAAUGACAAUCAACAUAAGUAAUGAGCAAAGAAAGUUAUCAAUUGGGAGAAGAUAGGGUUGAUAGGUGUGAAGACCCAGCCAGUCGUCUCAUGAGUUACCGCUCCGUUUUCCCCAUUUCUGAUUUUUAUUUAUUUGUCUAUCGGUUCUAUAUACGAUCGGGUUGGUUGGCUCACAUUCGAAAGGAUUUGGUAAGGUUUGAGACACUUAGUCUCUUUUGAGGAAGCUUAAGUUGGAAAAGUCAAUCGGAUGUUGACUUAUGUGUUAGAGGGCUCGGAUGUGAAUUCCAAUGGUUCUGAUAGCUUUGGGAGGUGAUUUGGGACUUAGGAGCGUGAUCAGAGUGUGUUUUGGAGGUCCGAAGUAGAUUUAGGCUUGAAUUGGCGAAAUUGGAUUUUUGACGUUUUCCGGUUGAUAGGUGAGAUUUUGAUAUAGGGGGCAGAAUGGAAUUUUGGGAGUUGCAGUAGCUUCGUUGGGUCAUUUGGGAUGUUUGUGCAAAAUUUCAGGUCAUUCGGACGUGGUUUGGUAUACUUUUUGAUCAAAAGCAUAAUUUGGAAGAUUUUAGAAACUUAGGCUUGAAUCCGAUGUGUUUUGGUCGAUCGAUGUUGUUUGAGGUGUUUUGAAGAUUGGUAUAAGUUUGGAUGGUGGUAUAUGAUGCGUUUGUGCUUUGGGUUGAGGUCCCGGGGGGCCUCGGGGUGAUUUCGGAUGGUUGGCGGAAAGAUUUGGAGUUGGCUAUGAUAGCUGAAGUUUCCCAUUGCUGUCAUAACCGCACAUGCGGCGAGGGGACCGCAGGUGUGGUUUCGCAGAAGCGAGAUUGUAGUCGCAGAAGCGGAAAGGAGCUAGGAGAGAUGGAACCCUAGAAGCGGUCAAGGAGCCGCACCUGCGAUGGCGCAGGUGCGGAUUUAGCAUCGCAGAUGCGGAUCUGGGCGACUUAAGUGAGGAUCGCAGAUACGGUUCAAGGACCGCAAAACAGGUACCGCAGAAGUGGUAGAAGGGGGCUGCAGAUGUGAAAUGCCUGGGCCAGAAGGUAUAAAUUAUUUCCUUCGCGAUUUUUGAGCUAUUCCACCAUUUCAAACUCGGCUUUUGGAGCUUUUUGGGCGAUUUGAAGAAGGAUUUCAAGGGAACUUCAUUGAGGUAAGAAUUUUGGACCUGAAACUCGUUCCUAUAGUAUUAUUUCACAUAUUAGAGCUAUAAUUAAUGGAAUUUAAGGGUCAAAAUUGGGGAAAACUAGGGCAUGGUAUUGGAGACCUAGACUUGAGGAUUUGAGGGACCAUUUGUGGUAGGAUUUUGGUACUUUUGAUAUGUAUGAACUCGUGGGGAGAUAAUGAAUCUAUUGAUGUGAAUUUUAUCAAAUUUCGAGAUGUGGGCCCGGGGGUUAGGUUUUGGUAAUUUCGGGAUUUAUGCUGUCAAUUGAUUAUUUUUGCAUGGGCUUCGUUCCCUUAGCAUAUUUUGACAUCGUGAUUCUGAUUUUGGAUAGAUUUGAUGCGAGUUGAGGCCGAUUCGAGGGGAAAAGGCGUCGCGGGCUAGAGUUUGGACCGGAUUGACGUGAGUAAUAAUUGUAAAUGUUGUCCUGAAUGUCCGGAUUGCACAUCGUUGUGCUAUAUUGAAGUGAUGCACAUGCUAGAUGAUGAGUGUGGGGUCAUGCACUCUGUGAAAUUGUGACUUAGUCUGUCCCGAAUGACUAUUUUACCGCGUAUUUGUCUGAAAGCUAUUUGCUAUCAUCAUGUUUUGGGCUGAAUGCCGUAUUUGGGCCUCGUGCUAACUAUUUGAACCCUUAGGAGAUUUUUACUGAUAUUUCCUCAAUGUUUUGACUUUAUACUUGUACUCAGUCAUGCUAUAAUCUAUUGUUUUCAUAACUCAGCCAUGUUUACUCCGCUUUAACACUUAAAUGAUAUUUUGGGUUAAGCAUCAUGUUUUAAUAUUGCCCGAGUGGCUUGUGAGAAUUUUGACUGAGUAUAGCCGAGGGCGUAUGUUGUGAGGAAACACCUGAUUAUGAUUAUGAGGACUAGGACCUGAGAUUUGUAUGCCACGAGGUGGCUUGUUGAUAUGAGGCCGAGAGCCUAGUUAUGAUGCCACGAGAUGGCUUGAUAUUGUGCUUGGGCCGUAAGGGCCCCUCCGGGAGUCUGCACACCCCCGGUGAGCGUGGGUACCCAUUGUGAUGUGAGAUGUAGCCCGAGGGGCUGGUGUUGUUCUAUGAUAUUGCCCGAAGGGCAGAUUUUGUUGACAUUGUGCCCGAGGGGCGAUCCUUUAUGUAUUUAUCAUUUCUAGUUGACUGUCAUUUACUUGCUUAAUUGAUAAAAAGGCAUUUUAUGAAGUUUAAAUUGAACUAAAAUGACUUUACAUAUUUUCACUGUUUCACUAUUUUUACUGGCUUUUACUGCUUUCUUAUAGCCUGUGAUGUGCCUUACGUGAUUUCAUAUUUCUCAAUCUUUAUUUAUGAUUAUUACUCACUGAGUUGGAGUACUCACUUUACUCCCUGUAACCCAUGUGCAGAUUAAGGCAUUGCUGAUCCUGCUUGCGAGGGUUGAGAGCUCCCAGUAGAUUUCGG
Molecule: long non-coding RNA, 45249 nt
Filed under: Nicotiana tabacum (common tobacco)
Lineage: Eukaryota; Viridiplantae; Streptophyta; Magnoliopsida; Solanales; Solanaceae
Description: long non-coding RNA (NTAB_LNC009918)
Source: RNAcentral